This 53384-nucleotide long non-coding RNA is filed under the name Vitis vinifera (wine grape). Its description in RNAcentral is "long non-coding RNA (VVIN_LNC003470)". Lineage: Eukaryota; Viridiplantae; Streptophyta; Magnoliopsida; Vitales; Vitaceae. The record is from RNAcentral.
GUCUCUCCCGAAAAAAGAAAAAUGGGGAAAGUGGUGGCUACUUACACAGUGAGACCAGCCAGGGAGACACCAGGAGGCUGCAGGUGUGUAUCAGACAGUGAUCAAGUUAGAGCUCUCACUCACGCACCCACCUUCUACUUUUACCCACCUGUGAAUGUGUCCCUUGAAUCGGCCACCGAGAUUCUGAGGCACUCUCUGAGUGAGGCUUUGGUGAUUUUCUAUCCACUAGCGGGACGAUUGCACUGGAUUGGUGGAGGCCGCCUUGAGCUCGACUGCAAUGCCUUGGGGGCUCUACUCAUUGCAGUCGAGUCCGAAGGCAAAAUCGAUGACUAUGGAGACUUCCGACCAACCCCAGAGAUCCGAGCUCUCAUCCCUUCAGUGGAUUACGACAAGCCAAUCGAUGAACUACCAUUGCUGUUGGUGCAACUCACCAAGUUUAGCUGUGGUAGCAUGAGUCUGGGCUUGGGAAUAUCGCAUACCAUCGCUGAUGGCCUUAGUGCAUUACACUUCAUUUCAGAGUGGGCUAAAAUCGCCCGUGGCGAGCAAGCCAACAGCCCACCAUUUCUGGAUCGAUCAGUUUUACUAGCCCCGGAGCAUUUGACCGCACCAGUGUUUGAUCAUCCAGAGUUUGGUCCUCAACCCCUCUUGAUUGGGAAGCAAGAUAACAUGGAAGAGCGGAAGAGAGAAACCACUACACUCAUGUUAAAAUUAAGCAAAGAUCAAGUCGAGAAACUGAAGGACAAAGCCAACAAAGAUCGGAGUCCUUCCGACAACAAGCGCCCCUACACCAGGUAUGAGGCUAUUGCUGGACACAUCUGGAGGAGUGCGUGCAAGGCACGUCAGCAUGAAAGCCAGCAGCCAACACUAUUGUCUAUCAUCGUUGAUGCUCGCAAUCGCAUGGAGCCACCAUUGCCCCCCAGGUAUUUCGGAAAUGGUACAUUUCGGGUAACUGCUGAAACCACAUCAGGGGAGCUAGUCUCCAAUUCUUUAGGUUUUGCUUCAGGUAAAGCGCGACAGGCAAUAGAGAAGGCAACGCAUGAAUAUUUACAAUCAUCUCUUGUGUAUGUGAAAUGUCAGGAGGAUGUGACCAAUUUCAGGAAUUUCCACACCGUUGGGUGCGCCAAAGGGGCUUUCUAUGGGAACCCUAAUCUUGAGAUCACUAGCUGGGCUAGACUUCCCAUCUAUGGGGCAGAUUUCGGGUGGGGCCAGGAAAUAUACAUGGGGCCUGGAGGAAUUGGCUACGAUGGUAAGGUUUUCGUAUUUCCCGGCCAGGGUCAAGACGGAUCAUUCGUUGUUGCGUUGAGGCUGCAAGUACGCCACGUUGACGCUUUCCAGAAAUUCUUCUACGAAGAUAUUUGAGACUAUACCUAGUAUUUGAGUCUUCAACAAUAAAAUCCCAUCUUUCCCUUUAUUAAGUAAACUCAUUUCAUUAAUAUUUGAGUUUGAUUUUGAUUUUGCUUAAUUUUAUUAGAAAUUUGGAUUUGAUUGGAAAAGAAUAGAGAGAGCCAGUGUGUUUCUUUCUCAUAAUAACUUGUUCUUGUAUUGGAAAAUAUUUUGUCUUCAAAAACCAUUUUCAAUUAAUCCUUUACUAUAAAAUGAGGAUAAAACGUAACCCUAGGCUACUUUUCUAAGAUAAAUCAUAAUCCUUUGCUAUAAGUAUUAAUAAUAAUAAAAAAAAAACUCGAUGUACAAAAGAAAAGCAAACUUUGUAUGGGACUAAAUAGUGAAUAUUUCUUCUAUUGCCCUGGACUUCAUUUCUGACUCCGCCACUGUCGUAGAACGUGGGCAAAGCACGUUCUUUCCAUGGACGGGUCAUUUCCAUGUCUACGUCAGAAGUCAGGCUGUCUGGUGUUUUUGCCAAUUUCUUGUUGAAAUUAGAACAGGCAAGGGUUCGGUCCUGUACCUUACCCCGGGUCAGGUCAGCACAGCACAGAUUUACCUGUCUUGUAAGGCACAAGCUUGUCAGCGCAUAAUGCGCUGCAUCAUUGCAUUAAAGGUCCACCCACACGCCGUUUACCCCAUUUUUAUUUAUUUAUUAUUAUUAUUAUUAUUUUUUUAGAAUUGUGUUUUUAUCCGACUACCCUCAAAAAUUAACAUUUGAUCCAUAUAUAAUGGAUAUUUAAGUCAAAGAUCCAAACAAAGUAUAAAAAUUAAAAUGAAGGAAAUUAUCUUUUAUUAAUUUUUAAAAUACCCUUAAUCCUUAAAUAGACACAAGUGAAUGUGAAUUUCAAAUUUUUUUAUGUUUUUUUUUCAUUUUCUUUCCAUUUUCUAUUCCCUAUUAAGUAUUACUUAUUUUUAACUUCUUUUUCUCUCAAUCUAUAUUUUUAUUUUAUGUCAAAUAAAAAAUAAUAAUGUUUUUUUGUUUUUCAUUUUUAAAGAUAUUAAAUCUUUUUGCUCUUAUUAUAAGCAAUGAUAAAAAUUUUGGGAUUUUUCAUCCAAAUAUUUUUUAUCUUUUUGCAUUUAUCUUUUAGUUUAAUUUUCAUUUUUAAUUUUAAAUUUAUAUUACCCUUUCAUUUAUACUUUUCUCUUAUUUUUAAUUAUUUUUUAUAUUUUCUACAUUAACCAUAUUUUAAAAAAUUUAAAAAUUGACUAUCACUUCAAUUUAUUUUUUAUAUAUAUAUAUAUACUUUUAGCUUUUUAAUUUUUAAUGUUUCUAUUUUAAAAUUUUUAAAAAGAUAAAUUUAUUGAAAAAAAUAACUAAGGUAUGAAGUUCUAAUAUAAUAUUAAUAAUUUUUCUUAUCUAAAUAGAUUAAUGCAAAGUAUUUUGACUCACAACAAGAAAAUUGUCAGUACAAUUUUUUAGUUAAACUUUAGAAAUUAAAUUUUAAAUAAAAUAUUUUAUAUAAAAUUUUAUCUAAAAAUUAUUGAAAGUGGUAUUUAAUUUUUUUUAUUGACUUUCAAACUUAUCUAAUUUUUUACUUGAAGGGUAAUAGAACAUGUUUACAAAAAAAAAGAAAAAAUUAGUUUUUCAUUUUUUAAAUAAAUGAGUAUAAAUAUAUUAAAAAAAAUUAAAGAUAAUCUUAGUAAAAAUUUGAUAAAUAUGAUUAUAAUUUUAAAUAUAGACUCAUUUGGAUAAAAUUUCACAAAAAAAAAAGUAGUGGAAAGAAAAAACAUUGCUAAAAUUAUAAAAACAAAAUAUGCAAUUACAAAAUUUGAUGAUGAAAUUUAAAAAUAAAAUUCGAAAAAAUUCUUGAGUGAGAGAAUUUGAGUGGGGAAAAAUAGGAAAGUUUUUCAAAAUCACUUGAAAUCCUUAACAAAAAAUAGUCUUGUACACCUUUGUACAAUUAGUAAAUUUGUUUUGUAUAGUUAGUGUAAUACCCUUAUACAAUAACUCAAAUUUUAACAUCAUCUCAUGAAUAUCUGACAAUAGGUCGAUUAACCAUAUUUGCAUUGGUUUGGUUUUAGAAAAGAAGAAAAAUUGUUAUAUAAUUUUGUUUUACAAUUAUCAUAAGUGAGGUACCUAUUCAAAUGACCAUAUACAAGUUAGAGUACAUGAGAUGAAUGUAUGCUUAACCAAUGUGUGUAAGGAAUGUCAUUUAUCCUCGGUUAGGGGAAAUAAACAAACAAAAUUUUCAAAAUCACUUAAAAUCCUUCACAAAUAAUAGUCUUGUACACUCUUGUACAGUUAGUAUAUUUGUUAUGUACACUUAAUGUAAAUACCUUGUACAGUGACUCAAAUUCCAUAUACCCUGUACUUAAUGUGUAACCAUAGGUAGGUUAACCAUGUUUUCAUUGGUUUGUUUAAAAAAAUAGUGGAAGAUGGAAAAACAAAAUUUUCUCUCAAACAUCAUUAAUGGUUAGAACAUUUGUCUUGUAUAGUUAGAACAUUUGCCUUGUCCAAUUGAACAUUUACCUUGUACAAUUAGUAUAAUACCAUUGUACAAUGGUGCAGAUUUCAUUCAUAUGCAUACAUUAUGUGUCACAUAUGAUGUGUGAACCAUGUUUCCAAUGAUUUGAUUUAAAAAAUGAUAUAAAACGUAAAAACAAAAUUUUUCUCUAAACAUCAUUAUUAAAGUAGGCAUUUGAAUUGUUGUAUGCGAGUUAAAUAAAGUACAUGAAAUAAAAGAAUUUGUGGUAGGAGAACGUAUAAUCCAUAGAUGACAAGAAAAAAAAAAGUUGUUCAAAAUGUAUAGUUUUGUAUACCCCUUGUACAAUUAGUGUAAUAACCUUAUAUAAUGAUAUAAAUUUUAUAUAUAUGUAUAAAUUAUAUCCACAUGAGUGUGUAAACUAUGUUCCUAAUAGUUUGAUAUUUAAAUAAUUAAAUAAAUAAACCGUUAUUUUAUUUUAUUUUCAAUGCAAAAUGUAAUUAAAAAUAAGACAAAGAAAUUACUUAAAAACUAUUAUUUAAUCCAAGUUUAUUUAUUUAUUUCCUUUUAUUUUUGGAAAUAAAGAAAAAAGAAUAAAAAAUUUAUUUAACCAUAAGAAAUAUGAAUAGAAGAUCAGUUAGAAAAUACUAAAUUUAUUUAUUUAUUUCAUUUUAUUUUUGGAAUAAAAGAAAAAAAUUUAUUUAACCAUAAAAAAUAUUGAUAUAAAAUAUGUUAAAAAAUAGAAAUAAUCCUAAAUUUAUUUACUUAUUUCAUUUUAUUUAUUUAAAUUAGAAAGUAAUUUAUUUUAAUAGAUUAAAAUGUACAUAAUUGAUUUAUUACUUUCUUAAUUGUGUAUAUAUAUAUAUAUAUAUAUAUAUAUAUAUAUAAUUUAGUUAUUUAAUUAUUUUUUAUGUAAAAGAUAGUCCCACAAAAAACACAUAAUUGAUCAAUUUCUUUAUUUAAUUGUAAACAUACUAUAUUUUUUUAUUUUUUUUAUUAAAAUAACUAAUGGAAAAAAAUAAAAAUGGAUAAUCAAUGAAUGAAAUUUAAUUAUUUUUAUUAUUUUCAUAUAAAAAUAGUAUUAAACAAGGUUUUCAAUUUUUAUUUUUAAAAAUAGUUUUCAUUUUUUAAUUAAAUGUUUUUUCAAAAAGAAAAUAUAAAAAAUAUAAAUCUGUGGACCCCGCAUUUCGUGCUCAUGCGUUUCCCACUCGAUGAUGAGUUCGAUUUUUAUUUUGAAAAAUGAUUUAAUUGGUUAAAAAAAAUGACUUGGAGUCGCCACUUAUUUUUGUUUUAUUUUUAAAGGUUAAACAAAAUAAGAAAGAAAACCCUAAGUGUGACUCCUUAUUUUGGAAAAAUGUGAUCUCCGAAAAACCGAAUCGGGUUCGGGGAUCAGGUUACUUAUCAGGAAGGUACGGUAAAAACCGUAUCACCCUUCUAAGUCCCUAAAAAAGGGUCUCUACUAAUAAAAUGAAGCUGAUGUGGCAAUUGAUGAGUAAAUCAAUGAAUAUCCUGAAUGAUCAUGCACACAUAAGAAUCGAGACAUGCAUAUAGAAAGACCAGAAAGAGAGUGGAUGCGCACCUGGGAGAUAAGCCACAAUGUGCUAUCAAGAGAUAGGGUUAGCGCAUAAUAAUGAACAUGAAAUAUGUCACUCAAAACAAAAAUAACUGAAUGAACAAAAGAGGCAAAAGACGUACCUAAGUGAUGAACUCAUUUAUUUCAUGGGAAACAAAGGUUAGUGAACAAAUUCAGAGCAAUCGUGUGCAUAACAUAGAAUAGAAUGAAUCACUCAUAUAUAGCAAUCAAAACAACCAGCCAAUCAAUCAAUCAGUCAUAAAGUCACAUAUGUCGGGCCCCCACCAAAGCCCAUUUAUUUUUGCAUGAAUUAUUUUCGUAAAUUCCAUUCAUUAGAAUCACAAAGUUAAAUUCGUGCUUAUUGAAAUCAAGAGGAACAUGAGAUUGUUCGAAAAAUGGAAUUAAAACAAUUGGAGAGGAAAUCGGAAUUUUGAAAUUCAUUUGAAAAAUUGGGGUCUUGAAGGUUAUUUAAAAUUUGGAGUUUUAUAGUUUAUUUGGAGAUCAGACUUUCAGAAAUUAAAUGCGAGAAUGAGAAUUUUUAGAAAUUAAAUUUGAACGAGAUCGGAAACUUGAAAAUGAUUUGAGAGUUCGGGAUUUUAAAUGAGUGGAUAAGCGGAUGAGUGAAUAAGUAAAAGAAUUGAAUAAUAAUGAUGGUGAAAUAAUAAAGAUUAGGUAAAUAAUUGCGAAAGAUGGAAUUUUAGACAUUUGAAGAUGCGAAUUUAGAGAUUGAAAACUUAAGAAUUUAUUUAGAGAUGAGAUCUUUGGUAUAUGAAUAACUGAAUAAAUAAGUGGAUGAGAUAACAUUAAUAACGAGAAUAAUCAUUAAACGGCGAUAUAUGGACGGUGGAGUUUUUGAGAUUGGAAAUUAGAUUUGGAAGUUGGAUUCUGAUGAAUUAAACUUUAACGAUUAGAAUAAUCAGAUAAUAUGGAAUAAUAAUGCUACUUAAUGGAAACGAUAUUUUGAACGAAUAGAGAAGGAGCAGUGGAAUUUUAAGAUUGAAAAUUAAGUUAGGACGUUGAAUUUUUGAAGAGUUGGAUCUUAAAUGAAUAAAAAGAUAAAGGAUAAGAAUUCUAGUUAACAAAAAUAACGUUUGGGCGAAUAAUAGAAUUUCUAAGGUUGAAAGUUAAAUUGAGAUUUUUGAAAGAUUGAACUUUAAAUAAAUAUGGGAUGAUGAUUCUAAUUGAUGAAAAUGAAAUUUAAAUGAAUUGUAGAAUUUUUUUAGGAUCGAAAAAUUAAAUUAAAAUAUGAAUUUUUUGAACGAUUAGACUUUAAAUAACUAGAUAAAUACGGGAUUAAAAUUCUAGUUGAUGAAAAUAAGAUUUAAAUGAAUAUUUGAAGAAUUAAAUUAAGACAUGGGACUUUUGAAAAAUUACUUAAAGACCUAAGUUUUGAAAAUGGGAUUUAAAGUUUAGAAUGUAGAAAAAUGCUUUGAGUCCAAUAUAAAUUAAUUUAUACAAAAGUUUUUCAUAUAUGGUGAUUUAGACAUAAUUUAAAGAUGGGAAGGUGAAAUAUAAAUUAUUUUGUGUUUUGAAAGGAUAUCCAACCUUAAUAAUUUGUCCUUUAAUCGUCUUCAAGUUGAGUUAAAUAAAUUGGUAUAAAUAGAAUAAGAUAACAAAUAAAAAUGAAUGAUUGAAUUAAUUAAUUAUGGAUAUUAGAGAUUUUUAAGAGAAUUAUUUAGGAUUUGGGCAACCUAAUGGGCUAAGUUGAUGUGGGCAUGGGCCAAUGAGGGUGGCUAGCAUAGGGGGCAUGGGGCCUUUCAUCAACAUGCUUGGGUUGGGCUCCAACUCAAGCCCAAACCCGUCACCAAGAGCAUAGGUCUGGGCUCCAACUUAAGCCCAAGGCACCAUCACCAUAAAAGCUUGGGCCUGGGCUCCAACUUAAGCCCAAGGCACCAUCACCAUCAAAGCUUGGGCCUAGGCUCCAACUUAAGCCUAAGUUCAAGGCCAAUAUAGGCAAGCCCAAAACGUAUUUCUAUCACAAACCUGGGCUUGGGCUCAAACCUCCACCUAUGGGCAAGCCUAAAAGGCUCCAAAUCCCCUCACAGCCCACCACUCCAACCGGAUCCUUCCUUCAACCCCACUCCUUGGAGACCCUCUUAUGUUGAUGGAGAGUGCACUGAAGAUGCCUCACGUAUAGGGAGAGACACGGUUUUUUCGGGUAUGUGAGUAAUGGGCAUGCAUGAGAGAGCAUGGAGAGUGGAAUGGAUGCAUGGCGUGGUGCAGAGAGAGAAAAGGUGGUGAGGGACAUGUGGUGUGGUGUAGAGAGAGAAAAUAUGGUGAGGGACAUGUGGUGUGGUGUAGAGAGAGAAAAUGUGGUGAGGGGAUUGUGGUGUGGUGUAGAGAGAGAAAAGGUGGUGAGGAAGAAAAUGAGGGAGUUGGGUAGUGAAGGUAAGAGAUGGACGGGUGAGGAAUGGGUGGUGAGUGAAAGUGUUCAUGGGGGGUGGCCAUGCAUAUUGGAUAGGGUAUGUGAGCAUGGAAGGUUUGCAUGGAUAUGAGGGCUAGGGUAUACAAACGUGGAGAGUUUGCAUGGGUAUGAGGGUGGUGAUGUGCAUGGGUAAGUAUGGAGGUUUGAAAGGAUGGGUAUGUGUUGAUGAAUGGCAACCAUGGGGGGUAGCCAUGCAUGCAUGAUUCCCAUGCAUGUAGGUGGGUGGCUUUGGGAUUCCUAUGGAGAUGAGCAUGGCAUGGGUAUGGUGGACAGCCGGGUAUGAAAAUGGAUGGUAAGAUUAGCUUCUGUAAGUGGGUGUGAUGAAUGGAUGGGGAAGAAUAAUGGGGAGUGGGUUUAAUGGGCUUGGAAUUAAUGGACUGGGUGGCCGGAUUUAGUGAGAGAAAUGAGGCAACGGUCUGGGUACAGAGAGGUGAUGGUGUGGGGUCUAUAAAGGUGGUGGACUUGGGAAGAUCUCCACCAGCUAAUGCAGUUGGAUGGAACUACAUGAAUGCUGUGUUGGAAAAUUACAGCCUAGGAGUGACGUGCCAUGGCUAUACCAAGAGUAAAUGAAGAUAACAAAAACAAAGCACAAAAAGUGGAUUCAAGCAACGAGCCCAUACAGGCCAUGCUUCAUAUCUUAAUCAACAAGCUUAGAUGGGGGUGGGAGAAAUCAAAUGAGUAUCUAUAAAAGGGUAAAACACGGUUACAAAAUAUCUCAUGAAGGAAUCAAAAUAGGAGCAAACUAAUCUACAGCAAAACCAUUAGCAAAACAUGAACAUGGUCAGUCCUAGUCCACAAACAUCAUCUAAGAAACACCAGAAAAAAAACAUAAGAGCAUACCAGUAGAAGCUAAUGGGGAAUCCACAAUAAAGGUACCUGAAAACGCUUCUCUUCAGCAAAGUGCCGUGGAUUUCUCCCUAUUCUUGCUCUAGAAGCUCUCCAGAAAAUUCACAAAACUCCCCUACUUCUUUUCCAGCGAGCCCCCCUCUUUCUCAGACGUCUCCCCCCAUCCUCCUCUCUUGUUCACCUCAUCAGCAAGUAUGGGAGACCCCAACCACCCUCAUGGGCAGCCAUGCCUCCGGCUAGUUGUCCACGUAUCAGCUCAUGCAUGGGAAGGUCCCCCCUCUCUUCUUCCACAGAUGUCAUGCAAAAGGAGAAGGAAAGGAAAAAAAACUUCCCGGGCCCCCCUUACUUCAAAAGGGGUCUACAAAAUCAUAUUACCAUUUUUUUAGAAAGUAUUUAUUUAAAUAGUUUUUGAACAUAAUUUUUCUUUAUUUAUAAUUUAAAAUAGAAAAUAAUGCUGAUUUUCAAUUAUUUAUAAUUUUUUUAAAAAAACAAUGAAAAAUCCAAAUUGUUAAAAUAGAAUUAUUAUGGUUGCAUGAAUAGUGGUGCAAUAAAGAUAAAAAAAGCUUAUAUGAAAGGUCAUUGGGUAUUUUAGUCCAUCACUAUUUUAUAGCCUUAAAAGGUAAUAUAUAGAAAUUUGAAGGAUAUAUUGGUCUUUUAACAUCUUAUAUUCUUUCCAUCAAUUAUGGAAGUUAUAUGGACUAAAUGUUAAUUUUUGGGUCCAGUUGGGCCCAAAACACAAUUCUCCGUUAUUUUUUUAUGGUAGUAUUGAAAAACAACCUUACCAUCAUACGACCAUACGUCAAUAUACUUUCACUUCAUUGCCUUGUCAUUUUCCCCUAUAUUUUCACUUCGUUGCUUUAUCAUUUUCCCCUAAUGCAAAUUGUUCAACUCAACGACACCAAAUAAAUAGUACUGAUGUUAAGUACAACUGUUGUCCUUUGAAACUUAUGAGACUUAUGUUUAAAUCAUUGUUUUAAAAAUCGGAUCGGAUCGGCCGGUUGAAUCAUCGACUGAUGAACUUUUUAAUUCGGUCCAUCUCAAUGAAUCGUUUUGUGGUCAAACCGGCAUUGAAUCGUUCAAACCGACAGUUGAACCGUCAAAUCGGACAAACUGUCCCGGCCAGACCUUAAUUCUACAAAUAUUUGUUUACUAUUAAGAGACUCAUUAUCCAUCGGGCCCAUUCCAGACCUAAUACUUUUAAAACUGAAACUAAUUAUAAGCCCAUAUUUGGUGGUCCAAGCCACUAGGCCCAAUCCAACGACAAGAAAGCUUAUAAAACUUUUAUUUGGGUCAUGCCUCUAGGCCCAAUUUGCUGGCAUGUUUGGCUUACAAGGCAUGUUGCAAAGUAUUUAUAGAACACUUAGACAUAGAAUUCAUGUGCUUCUGAUGUGGGAUUGGGAAUGAAACUAAUUAGAGGUAAAACAUUGCCUCUUUGAGGGUUGGACUCACGAAUCUCUUAAAAAUUAAAGUUUGAACUUUGAAGUCUUUGAACCAUCGAGUAUUGCACCAUAUUUAUUAAAUGAUGUUGUUAAAAAAUAUAUAUAAUAAGAAUCUAAGAUUAAUGUUUUUAUUUCAAAUUUUUAUCAUAUAAAAUCUUUAAAGAAAUGUAAAUAUUUAAAUUCUUGUUUAAUUUUAUAAUAAUAAUAUAAUAAUAAUUAUAAAAAAUAAUAUAAAUUAAUUAAUAGAAUAAUUUUAAAACAAUAAAAUACAAAGACAAAAAUUUAAAAUUAAAUAUUAUAAAUUAAAUCUAAGAAUGAGGAUAUAUUUAAAAUAUGUAAUAUUACAUAUUUCUAUUUAAUAAAAUUUAAAAUGUUAAACUUUAUCAUUUAAUUUAAUAUACCAAAUAUAAAAAUCAAACAUCAUUAAAAUUUGUAAUUUUAUAUAUUUUUAAUUUUAUAUAAUAUAUAAAUUAUAUAUUUAUUACAUUACCGGUUCAACCGCUGUUCAACCGUCGAUCCGACCAGUGAAUCGUGAACCAUGAAUCGUGAACCGAUAAUUUUUUCGAUUCAAUGACCGGUCCGAUUAUGAAAACAUUGGUUUAAAUUGAUCUCUUUGGUGCCAUGUAGGAGUCAUGUCAUGGAAGCAUAUAUAUAUAUAAUUCUUUUUUUAAAAUUUUAGUUAAAGUCUUAAUUGGUAAAUGAAGUUUUAUUUUUUGAUUGAAGGCGUAGUUGCUAACUGAGACAUCAAUUUUUAAACUAAAACCGCAAUUGUCAAUUGAGACUUUAUUUUUUAACUGAAACCUUAAUUGGUAACUAAGACUUUAUUUUUGAACUAAAACCUCAAUUACCAACUGAUGUUUCAGUUAUUUUUUUUUUUACUUUAAAAUUUAAUUAAAAACUAUUAAAUUAUAAUUUAUUAUUAAAGUUAAAAAUACAUACUUUAAUAACAAAUUAUUUAUAUUUAAACUUAAGAAUUUAGUAUUACUUCAACAAACAUAAAUUGAUAAAUAGAAAAUAUUAUAAAUGAAUAUUUUAUUUAUUAAUAAAUUAAUAAUUUUAAAAUAAUAAAAUUUAUAUAGCAUAUAAAUAAGAUAUAAAAUUGUAUAAUUUAUUAAUUUAAGAUAUUAAUUUAUUUGUAUUAUGACAAAUUUAUCUUUAUCAAAAUAAUAUUAUACACUUAAGCCGCAGUAGCCAAUUGAAGCUUCAAUUAAUAUAUAUAUACUAUUAAAUCACAACUUAUUAUUGAAAUUAAAAAUAUAUACUUUAAUAAUAAAUUAUUUAUAUUUAAACUUAAGAAUCUAGUAUUACUUCAAUAAACAUAAAUUAAUAAAAAAUUACGAGUAUGUCUUAUAUGACCUAAAUAAUGGCAAUAAAUUGUAGCAUUGGUCAUAAUACUAAACAUCAAUAUGGGCAUCAGGACCUUUGUCUUGGGCAGUAGCAUAUUCGAAAUGGAUAAGAAUUAUUCCAUAAUUCCCUAAAUACAAGCUUCUAACUAACGGUUUCUCCAUUGACAAUUUUGACAAACACAUGGAAAAAAAAAUAAUGAAAGGCUACUAAGGAAGUUUCCCGGAGUUCCAAUAACAUCACAUCUAAAAAGACAAGUGAACUAAUUCUAUUCUAUAGUUCUUAAAAAUUGUUUUUAAUUGUUUUUAAGAACAAAAUUAUGUUUGAGAAUUCAGAUAUGAAAUAAAAUUUGCUUAAUUUAUUCUUCAUAAAAUUACUACAUACUUAUAUACAAUACAAAAAUUUAUAAAAUAUUUUUAGAAAACUAUUUUAAAAAAUAAUUUCUAUCCGUGGUCCUAUUAUCCCAUUAGUGGGCAAGCAAAUUUUGGGUUAUACUAGUAUGUCACUUUACCCUACAACACUUAAAUACUAGAAAGGGUCAAUCCCGAUCUACCUUUCUAACAUCACUUAAACAAUGAGGGUCAAACUUAAAACCUUAGGUUUAUCGUUGAAGGAGACUGCUAUUGAGAUACACUCUAACAAGAUUCAAUCUAAAUGAAAAUAUUUUCUAAUAUAAGUAGUAUGUUUCAAUGUUGUUAUUAAAGACUUUGUGGGCAUCUACUAGACAAUCCAGUUUGGUGUAGUCAUGGAGAAAUUUGUAGGACUAGUUUUUGGUUUUGAGAAAAGCCUAACUCUAAGGUUACUAUUGCCUUUGCAUGGAUUUGCUUGAGUUUUUCAACGUUGCCACAUUUUCCCUACAGGAAAUGGAAGGUUUUGGUGUUCACCUAUAUAUCACUAUUUGUGCGCAUUCAAAAGUGCUCUUCCACUUUAUUCACAAGUCACAACCCAUCUAAUGGUAAUACUCUUGUUUGGAUGCUGAGAAACUCUUGUCUGGUCCUCUAACAAAAAUGCAAAGCUAGUUGAACAAAUUAAAUUAAAUAAAUAAAAAUAAAAAUACCACAUUUCCCCAGUAUCUUUAUUUUUCACAUAAUUAAAUUAAAUAAAAAUCAAACAUUAGUAGUUGAAUUCAUAUUUGUUUAUAGUAAGCCACAAUCUAAAUUUGACCAUGUUACAUCCUAACUAUGAUAGCUUUUAAAAGAAAAAGAAAAUUGCCUUUUGUCAUCUACAUAGUACUUGGCAAUACAGGAUAUAAAUUAUAAUAGGAGUUAUAAAACUUUAGAUGAUAUCAUGGAAAUGAAAUUAUUCCACUUACACUUGAAAUGAGUCUACUUUACCAUUAGCCUACUUGGCCAGGUAGUUCCAUUUCAUUACCAUCGCAUAUGAUAUCACUCUGCUCCAUUGCAUUUGAAGAAUCAAUUUGUAAGGUUCCAUGAAGCUCAAAAAUUAAUUUUAAGUCCAUUCAUGAUUAGGUCAUGAAAGGAGUGGGGUGAUGAAUAGAUACAAAAAAAAAAAAAAAAAAAAGAACUUCAAUAAGACCACUUGAAUUCUAUAUUGACCAAAAAACUUCGGAAAAUCAGCAAAUAGUCAAAUAGUCAAACAGAGUAAGUCAGCAAAUAGUUUCUUCAAUAUCCAAAAUAUUGUCAAAUAGUUAUCCUCAUCAGGAAUGGAAAUAAGUUAACAAGUGAUCUUGUAGUUCAUGUCAUCCUCAAUUUGGAAAUAUAGAAGACGGUUUUUUUUUUUUUUUUUUUCUAUUUCUCAAUUUUGUUUUAGAAACUUGGAAGAGAGAAAAUCAAUUUAGGUGGUGUUUUUUUUUUUUAAUAAAAAAUUUCCUACUCUAAUUUUAAAAAUCCACUCGUGGAUUUUUGUAUAAAUUGCCAUUGUUAGAGAAAUAAGAAAACAAUGACCAUGUUGAGAAAUCGAGAUUACGGGAUGGGAAAGAAGAGGAAAAAAACUUUACAUAAUAAAAAGGCAAAAGGAAGAUGAGGACCAACCUCAACCUUGAUGCUUUGCAACUCCAACAAUGUUUCUCUCACAAUGACCCACUAGUGAGGCUAGGGUUUGAAGAGAAAAACUGGACAAAGCAACCAUGUGAUAGGAAGCAAAUGGGAAAGUAAACAAAAAUAACAUAAAAAAAUGGUCUGUGCUUAUGUGGAUAGAUGAGGGCUAUUUUGAAUAAUUGUUUUCGAUGAAGCCCAAUCUUAACAUUAAGUAUAAGAAGAAGCCCAUUUUAGCCCAAAACUCAGCUGCUCAAGGCAUAAUGCGCUGUCAUCAUUGCAUUAAAGGUCCACCCACAUGUUGUGUACCUAAUUUUAUUUUAUUUUAUUUUAUUUUUUCAAGGGUAGUAUAGAAAAACAACCUUAAAUUAGGCUACCUUACAUCUAUUUAUUUUCACUUCGUUGUCUUAUCAUUUUCCCAUAAUGCAAGUUGUUCAACUCAAUAACACCAAAUAGUUAGUACUGAUAUUAAGUGCAACUGUUGUUCUUUGAAUGGCCACUAUGUUCAACAACUAGUCUCAAGCCUUUACAUGUGAAAUAAAAUUCCAACUUUUAAAUAAAGAAAGAAAUAUGAUAUGGUAAAAAAAAAAAAAAAUCAAAUUAUGUAUAAAGAAAUACUUAAAAAUGGAUAAGCUAAUGUUUUGUCAAAGAACUAAAAAGAAAGAAACUUUUGGAAGAAUGAACUCAUUCUCAUUGAUUGAUUGUGAUAGUAUAAAGGAGUUUACAGAUUGAGAGAGAGUAAUACAACAAACUCUAACUGGUUUAGUUAUAGAUUGUUGUAUUUAGUAACUAAUACUAAUAGCUUAAUGAACUAUAUAUCCUAACACGCUUCCUCAAACUUAAGGUAGUGAAAUCCUUUAUUCUAAGUUUGUUUUUGAAAUUGAAGAACAAUGAACUUGACACUGCCUUGGUGAGUAUGACUGCAACUUGAUUUUGAGUAGGAAUGCGUCUUACAUCAACUUGUUUGGUGAGAACUUUCUUUCAAAUAAAGUAUAAGUCCAACUCUAUGUGUUUAGUGUGUGAAUGUUGGAUUAGGUUGGUUGCAAAUUGGAUUGUACUUAGAUUAUUAUCAUGAGACAACACAAUAGUCAAACUUGUUUGAAUAGUAGUCGGUUUGACUAUGGGGCUAAAAGUUUCUACAAAAUUGAAACCAACCACUUGGUGAUAUCCUUUAGCUACUAACUUAGCCUUAUAACGUUCAAUUGUUUCAUCUUAUUUCUCUUUUAUUUUGCAGACCCACUUGUAGCCUAUAGACUUUCUAUAAAUUGGUAAUGAGAACAAACACUAAUUUUUAAUUCUCUGUAAGGCUUGGAACUCAUCCUUCAUAAUAGCAUGCUAAGAUAGUUGUUGAAGAGCCUUAGUACUAGAAGUAGGAACACUGAUGGUGACAAAUACUUGAGGCUUAAAUAUACUAUUCUUAGACUUGGUGGUCAUUUGAUAAGUAUUACCUGCAUUAGAAAUAGUAGGUAAUGGUGUAGUAAUAGUAGAAUGGUUAAGAUCAGAUAUAGGAAAGGAAACGUUAACAUCAAGUUUUGUAGAUUGAAUAACACCAUCAAUUCUAAGAUUAGAAAUAGAAAAUCUAUGAUCAAUAACAUAAGGCUAUGAGAGAACAAGUUUGAGGGGUAUAGAAGUAGAAGAAAGAAUAGAAAAAAUGUAGAUUGAGUAGGAUUAAAACAAAUAGAUUGAGUCAGAGAGGAAGAUUGUGCAAAAGGAAAAACAUGCUUAUCAAAGUUAACAUCACGAGAUAUGAAGAUUCUUCCAAAGGUAUCAAGACAUCUGUAACCCUUAUGAUUUAAGCUAUAACCUAUGAAUAUGCAAGGAAUAGAUCAAAAUUGGAGCCUGUGAUGAUUGUAUGGUUUAGUAUUAGGAAAGCAUAGGUAGCUAAAAACUUUGAGUUAAGAGUAGGUAAGUGGUAUUUUGAAUAGAAUUUCAAUAAGAGACUUGUGUUGUAGAAUUGUGUGGGAGUUCAAUUUAUUAGAAAAACAAUUGUUCUAUAAGCUUCAUCCCCAAAUUUAAAAGACAUCGGGGCUUGUGUAAGUAAGGUUAAACUAUUUGUAAUAAUGUGACGAUGUUUUCUUUUAGCCAAACCGUUUUGUUCACGAGUUCUAGAACAUGGAUUCUAUGAACAAUACAUGAGGAGUUAGAAAAUCAGUGAAAACCCUAUACUCCCUUCUCCAAUUAGUUUGGAUCAAUUUUAUUUUAUAAUCAAGUUGGAUUUCAACAAGAUUUUUGAAAUUUAAAGACUCAAGUACAUAAAGACAAUCUUUGAGUUCUAGAUGUUUAUUAUUCUCUAAUGCUAUGGUAACAUUUCCUACUACUUGCACAACUAUUCUCACAAAAGAUGUGAAAGUUCAGUACAUUUCUCCCUUAUUUAGCUCUCUCAUUGGUUUAAACUCCUAUAAAGAAUUAGAAAUAUGGUCAGUGGCCCUAGAAUCUAUCCACCAUGAUUGGAGGAAUCCACCACUAAACAUGAGUCAACUAAAAGUGAAUGGGACAUACAUUUCUUUUCUUCAGAUAGUCAAGACAUUCCUUCUUCCAGUUGUCUUUCUUUUCACAAAUGAAACACUUGCCCUUUUUUUUACUCUUUCAUUUCCUAGCCUUGGUCUUUCCCUAUUUGGAUUUCUUGGCAAUGUUCUUCUUAUUAUUAUUAUGGGAAGAACUUGAAGAAUCUUUUAUUGCCAUAAGAACACUUAUAGAAUCCUUAAGAAUUCCCUUAACCAUCUAAAACUCUUUCAUCAGUUCUAGCAAGCUUAACAUUAACUUAUUCAUAGUGUAAUUGAGCUUGAACUACUUGAGGGAGUCUAGUAAGGUCUCUAAGAUCAUAUUGACCUAAGUUUUCCCAUCAAUUUCAACUCCAAGGAUUUCUAUCUCAUUAAAGAAUUCAAUCAUAUGAAUCAUAUGAUCUUUAAUGGGAGUUCCUUCUAUCAUCUUAGUGUUCAUGGUGGUUCUUAGGACAGCUUGCCUAGCUAGCCUACUUUUAUCACAAACAUCUCCCAUAGGCUUAAGAGAAUCUCAUAGGUAGUGGCAAUGCUCAUGUGUUAUUGUUGUAACACAUUAUUGAGAGACCCAAGUAUAAUACAUUGAGUCUUCUCAUCUACCCUUUGCCAUUGGAAAUGAAUAUCUUUCUCUUCUUAUGUGGAAAAUUCAUAACAAGUAGGUGGAGUAAGCUCUUAAGUUACCCGUUUCAGCUGUUUAGCUGUGAGCAUUAUGCCCAAGUUUCAUUUUUAGUCAACAAAUAAUUAGGUCCAAUCAAUUUAUUAUCAGUGAGAAUCAAAGUGAUAAGGUUAUAAGACAUGAUUCCUGUAUAAACAAAACAUUCUAUGCAUUAAUAAGGAAACUAAGCCUCUAAGGAAAACAUGGUAAUUAAUUUAGCAAAAAUGUAGUGUUCUCAAACAACACAUAUUCAUGCAAGGUAUUAUAGUACCAUAAGAAUCAAACCUACUUUAGGCAAGUCAUGGCUCUUGUUACUAAGGUAGAGAGACCUCUAUCUAAUUAAUCAACCUGCUUUAAACCUCAAAAGGUUAUUCUAAGGUAGUAAUUAACAUAUUUUUAUGUUGAACCCUUAGCGCAUGCAAGUAGAACCACUUUAGGUGAUUCACCACUUCAUGUCUAAGUAUCUAAGUAAGAUCUUUGACAUCAAUUUUACAAAGUAAAAUGUUCCAUCUUACAAACUGUUGUCCCAACUAUUGACUAGAUGGUUUUUUGGGGUUGAUCGAGGCUAGAGUUGACUCUAUGUCUUUAAGACAAAUUUCAUCAUGCUUAGGUGCUUAGGUGCUUACGGUAUAAGUAAUUGUCUCACAGGAUACAAUGAUCAUUUUUUUAUGAUAGUAGCACUCUAAAUCACAAAAAACAAUGAAUCAUUUGGUGAUCUAUACUCUUUUGAAUACCAAAAAAAAAGAAAAGAAAAACUUAGUAGAAAAAAGAAAAGAUUAAACUUGAAGUUUAAGUAGUCUCCAUUUUGAUCAAGCACAUGAUGUAAUUAAAGUUGAAGUUCCACUAUACAAAGAUAUUUAAUUAUCAAGAAUAAAAAAUAUCAAUAGUGAUUAACAAAUAUUUAUGAUUCAAUCUACAUCAAGUCUUGUAGAUAUAAUAUAUUUCUCUAGUUCACAAACUUGAAGUAUUGCGAAUCAUGAUAAUAUAUCAAGUAAAUAAACAAAAAUCAUAUGCUCAAGCUACAAUUAAAACAAGGCCAAAGGAAACAAAUAGAAAAUAGACGAAAAGUUCAAAACCUUUAAGGCCUAUUACUUAUGAAGAUCAAUUGAUUAGGCAUAUGCCCAAGGAUUUCCUAAGGAAUUCAAACCUAAGAGAAUCUUGAGCUUUGGUAAGAAUAUGUGCCAAUUGAUGUUUAGUGAGGACAAACUCUAGAGAGACUAUCAUGAUUUUUUAAAAAUUAUAUUUAUUCUCUUAAAAUAGAAUUUUAUGCAAAUAAGAAAAAAAUUUAUUUUUACAAAGAUAAAGAAAAUAAGAGCUUCUUUCCAAAAAUAAGAUAUUUAUUUUUAAAAAUCUCAAUAAUUUGAGAAGAUUUUAAAAAUAAAGUCUUUAAGAAUUAAUUUUUGCAAAAGGAAAGAUGAUCUUUUAAUCUUGUUCAUAAAAUCCUUAUUCUUCCUUCUCCAACUUUGCAAUAUUUAUAAGGGGAAUCAUGCAUUACACCAUUUGCCACAAAGUAUUUUUAUUCAAUAAUGUUUGUAUUUUAUCUUGAGAGAUUUUUUAUUUGUUUUUAAGUACUAAAUUCACUCAUCAAUGGUUUGAAAUAAAUGAGGUUUUAAGAACAACUAUUGCAUGAUUUUUCCUUCUAAUUUAAGUUAUCACUGAAGUAAGUGCAUGGAUAUAAUUUCCUUCUAUUGGAUCAUGAGGAUAUUGAUUUUGUUGCAUUCCAUAGUUUUGUUUAAAUUAGUGGUUGACAUGCAUAAUUAAAUAAUAUAAUGCUAUAGAUGACAUUAAAUGAUUAAAUAGUAUAUUAUUUCUCAUUUAUUAAGAAUUUAAAUACACUUUCUUUUACCUAUAGAAAAGGGGUUGAUAUAUCAACCAAAAAAAACUUAUAGUAUAACUUAAAAAUUGUUCACAAUUUUUAUUAAAUAAUAUUAUAUAUCUAUGACAUGUACAUAAAGGCUCAUAAGGUGGUCUCGUGAUUUAUUAUACAAAUUUAAAGUGUCCUAUAUGACUUGAAUUGUUAUUCAUCAUAUCUACACGACUCCAUGCUUAGCACUUUAAAAAUUCUUGCAUGAAAAGUAAUAAUAUGAAGUAAAAAUGUAAAAUAAAAAAAUAAGCAAAAAAAUAUAAAUAAAUUUUUUCUUAUGGUUUGAAAAGUUAUAUUUAUAUUUAUAUUAUGAGGCUGCUUUCAAAUCUUAAGAAUAAGAAUUCUUUUAUUAACAUAAAAAUUAUUUUAAUCAAGACUUAAUUUGAAACAUUUGGUUUUGUAGGUACCAAGAAACCUUUAUACUUGAAUUUUAUAAAUAUAUUGAGAAAUAUCGGUAAAUAUCUUAACAAAAAAAUCAAUAAAACGGAAAUUGAUGAAAGCACAUAAAAAUUUUAGAAAAAAUCUAAAAAUAUGAUUAAAAAAAUAAUAAUACUUAUUGAAGUUGUUUUAUUGAAUAAAUUGACAUAUAUGCAAUAAUAUACAAAUUUGAAAACACAUUAAUAAAUUUGUAGCAUUAGACAAUAAUAAAUGAAUUUGAAAGCACAUUAAUAUUAAAAUGAUAAUAUAUUUAGUUUGAAUAUAUUGAAAAAUAAAAAAGGAUGAUAUUUAAAUAAGUAUUUUUUAUUUAUAAAUUUACAUUUAUCUUAUAUGAAUUAGUAUAUAAAAUAUAUAAUAAAAUAAUUAAAAUUAACUGAUUUAUAAUAAUUUUAUUUUAAUUAAUUUAUAAUAUAAUAUAUAUUAAUAAUUUAUCAAAGAUGUUAUGACUUAUAAUAUAUAUAUAUAUUCAAUACGCAUAUUUAAACCAAAUGAAGCAUUGGUUCAACGACAUAUACUAUUCUCGAUUUGUUUAAGGACGUUUUACAGUUGUGGUCUUAUUGAAGUAAUUUUUUUUAGUGCAAGUGUUAUAACAAUCCCACAUCGGAAUUCAAAAGAAAAACAACCUCUAUAUAGAAGAUGUUGCCCCUUUCACUGCUACGUGAAUUAGUGGUCGAGCCAAUAACACCGAACCAUAUUUUGGUAUGUUUGAAAACACCAAUCUGCAAAAAGUGCAAAUAUCUGAGGUAGAUCAAGUUGUACAUAAAAUUAAUAAACUUCAUUUUUCUUGUUUUCAUGAUAAGUUUCACUUUUCAUAAAAAUAAAAGAAAAAAUUAUAAUAAAAAAAUACUUAGCCAUCGUUUGGAUAAUAUAAUUCUCUUUUUUAUUUUUAAAAGUAGAAAUUUCAGAAAUUGUUAUAUAAAAGAUACAUUUUCAUAAUAUUUUUUUUUUCAUUAAUUUUAAAAAUCAUUAUAUUUUGAAUGUAAGCUCUAAAAGUACUUGUAUUUAUAUAUUAAAGUUACUAUAAUUUUAUAUUUCUAAAAAUAGAAAAUCAGAAUAAACACUUAUUUAUUUGUUUAUAAGUUUUAUUUAUUUUAUAUAAAUAAAAUUUUUAAAAAUAAUUAAAAUUUUAAAAUAAAGCAUGGGACUGCCUCAAUACUCCAUUUGGAAUUAAGAACAAGAAUGAAAAUGCAUUUAAAUAGUAAUAAAGACAAGGGUGGAAAGGUGAGCCACCUAUAUCCGAGUCUUUACAUCCCUAAAUGUAAAGCUUUACUUGUGGGCAUAUUUUUCUUAAUGACUGUUGAUUAGGAGAUACUCUAUCUGAUUGAUAAAUUAUUUAAGGGAAAUUUGAGGGUAUUAAUUCCAUAUCUACUAAACCUAUAAUUUCGACCAUGAAUGUGUAUAGUAAAAUCUAAAUUGUUGGAUGAUGGUAUAAACAAAUAAGAACAAAUGAUAUCAAAAUACAUAAGAAUGAGACCAAAGUAUAAAUGAAUGAAAGUUGGAUGUAAAGUAAUAUGAAUAGAUUGUAUAUAUAGCAAUUUGUAAUUAGUUUCAUUCUAUGGUAGAUAACAAUUCAAUACCGUGAUGAGACUCAUUAUUUAUGUGGUUGGUGUAGGAGAGACUAAUUUUGUUUUGAGAAGGGUAGUAAAAAUGAAAACACAUUUACUAAAUUUCUUAUAUAAAAUAGUUUUAUCUAAAUUUGUUUUGAAAAUAGUUUGUUUUUAAGAACACAUUUUAUAUUUUUCUAGUUGUUUUUUGUAGAGGAUUUUCAAUAACAAUUCAAAAUACGAAGAACACUCUAAUUUUUUUGUAUUGUGUAUAAAUUUAUAAUAUUUUCACAAAGAACAAACUCAAAAAAUUGUUUAAAGGAGAUCCUCUUUUAAGAAUUAUCAUCAAGAACUACUUUUAGAUAACUAUUUGAAAAGUAAAAUAAAAUAAAAUAAAAAUCUUUUCCUAUCCCAUCUGGUUGGUAGUUUACAGUUUGCACAGCGAGAGGGGCAAUUUAUUUUGUCUACCUCUAUCCUCCAUAGGCUGAAAAUUAGAACACACCAGAGCUUGGCCCCAUACCUGGUCCUAAGUGCUUUAAAAUCACAUCACGCACAUGCAUCUUAGCCUUUGAAGCUCUUCCAUCACUGCAUUAAUAAGAUGUUAUGACCAUGGUUUUAAAAAUCGGAUUGGACCGACCGGUCACAGUUCCGAUCGGUCAAUUGGGUUGGAAAAUAACAGAAUUGAACCGGUUGAACCGACGGUUCCCUCUGAAUCGUUUGGUUUAACUUUUUUUUUUUUUUUUUCCCAUUGUCGUCGGCACCGACCUGCUAUCACUGGUCACUGGUCGGUCGGACGUUGAUCCCCCGCUGGCAGGACUCCACCCCCCUGGGUGCUGGAAACCCCGCCCCUUCUCCCCCCUUUGCUGGAAAGCCCCCACCCCCGCACUAGAAAAGCCACUCACCUCUUCUUCUCCUUUUUGGCGCCCCUUCUCCUCAUUUUCUUUCUAGAUUUUUUUAUUUUUUAUUUUUUACCUCAUCUAGUUAUUAUUUUUUUUUAUAUUUAUUAUUUUUUUACUUUAUGAUUUUAAAACUUAUGAUUUUAAUUUAAAUUAAUGAAAACAUUAUAAUUUUAAAUAAAAAUUUGAUUGUAAAAUAAGUUUUUUAUUUAAAAAUGAAUUUUAAGAUUCUGAAUUUUAAAUUAAAAUUAUGAUUUUAAUUUAAAUUUCUAAUUUGAAACUAAUUUUCUGAUUUUCAAAUAAAAUUUUAAUUUUUAAAUAAUAUAUAAAUUAUUAUUUUUAUUUUUAUAAUUAUUUUAAAUUUUAAUAAUUUAUAAAUUAUAUAUUUAUGACAUCACCGAUUCGACCGUCGGUUUGACCGGUGAACCGUGAACCGAUUCAAUGACUGGUCCGAUUCUAAAAACAUUGGUUACUAUUGUUUUUCCUUGAAAAGGAAACCUAGAAUUCUUUGAAGUACUUGGCCAUUCCUACAGAGUUUUGGGGCAAAAUAGCCUUUUUAUAGAAAAAAAAAAAAUCAUGUUUAACCUUUUUACAAAACUUAUGUCCAAAUUAACCUCUUUACCAUCACAUAGAAACCAUGUCAUAAAAAAUAUAUAUUUUUUUUCAAAAUUUAAGUUAAAGUCUCAAUUUCCAACAGAGACUUCAUUUUUAAAUUGAAACCACAAUUGACAAUUGAUGCUUCAUUUUUAAAUUGAAGCCUUAUUAGUUAAUUGAGGCCUCAUUUUUUUAACUGAAACUGCAAUUGUCAAUUGAGGUUUCAUUUUUUAAUUGAAACCUCAAUUGCCAAUUAAUAUUUCAAUUAGUUUUUUUUCUUUAAAAUUUAAUUCAAAAAUAUUAAAUUACAAAUUAUUGUUGAAAUUUAAAAUAUAUACUUUAAUAAUAAAAAAAUUAUAUAUUUAAACUUAAGAAUCUAAUAUUACUUAAAUAAAGAUAAAUUGAUAAAUAUAAUAAUAAAAGAAUAUUUUAUUUAUCAAUAAAUUAAUAAUUUUAAAAUAAUAAAGUUAUAUGACAUAUAAAUAAGAUAUAAAAUUAUAUUAAUUAUUAAUUUGAGAUAUUUAAUUUGUUGUUUUUUUAAGAUAAUAAUUUAUUUGUAUUUUGAAAAAUUUAUUGCUAUUGAAAUAAUAGCAUACUCUUAAAUUUCCAUAUAUAGAUUUUUUUUUUAUUUUAAAGCAUAUGUUUAUAAUUUUACGUAAAGAUAGACUAUUAUUUGUGCACACAAAACAUACAUGCCUUGAAAAUACAUUAAAAAAAUUAGUUAAUGAAAUUAAUUAGAAAAAGUCUACUACAAAAUGUUAUUUUUAAUAGUUUCGUCAAAGUCACAAAAAAUCUUCACUAAACAUUUAUAUAGUGGGAAAAAAAGAGUAUAUAAUCUUACAUGCCUUCAUAAAGAGAGAAUCAAUGUAUAACUGACACUCUCUUCCUUUUUGGUUGCCCCUUUCUAAUUGUAGUAGGUACUACCAAGGAUAAAAAUAUCGGUAAUCAUGGAUAUAUCAAUGCUUCGAUUUUACGGAUAUAUCGAAGAUAUAUCGACGGAUAUUUUGGGAAAAAAUUUCAAUAGACUUAAAAUUGUUAAAAACUCAUGAAAAUGCAAGAGAAACCUCAUAAUAAAAUAAUUAGAAGUAUAAUAGAUAUUUUAAAAUUGUUUUAUUGAAGAAUUUGAUAUGCAUAUGACAUAAUUUGAGAUAUUAGAUGUAAUUAUAUCAUGUCGAUCUAUAAGAAAUGUUAAUUUUGUACUUGUUCUCAUUAUGAAGUCACAUAAAAUACUUCAUUUCAUUAAAUAUCAAUAAUUUGUACACAUUACAUUGCAAUGUCCUUUUAGUACCAAAAUGAGGAUUGAUGUGGUUCAAUGGGAUUGAUAGAUGAAGGAACCUCGUCUUGCUGUUGGAGACAAUAUUGGUACCAACUCAAUGAGCCUCAAUAAUAUUGGUUAAAAAUUCUAACAUGCCAUGUAUAUAUCUCUUGAGUCCUGUCCACUGCCUCUACAUGGAUAGGAUACUCAAAGUUCACCCAUGUGUUAAUGCCAAAUCCUUCUUCCAUCUGAUAUGGAACUUGGUAUGGCAUUUGUGUGGAAGGGGAACAACGCGACAUACCAUACUCUUCAUUGAUUGAACUUGAAGGUUGACCAUAACUUAUCACAUGAGGAAGGUAGACAUUAGCCUCAUUCGAGGAGUCACUAAAUUGAGUCCCUAUACUCAUAGAUUCAAAACUCCUUGAAAGUAACUCCUCGUUAUAUGGUUCCAUUGUUCGUUCUCUUCAUCUAUAGGGCUUCCUAAUAGCUCUUAUGCUUGGACCAACUUUUCUAGAGCCAUGGUCUUCAUCAUGUGUGCAGUGUGUGAAAUCAUUUUCAUAGGUAAAUUGGUUGAUUGGAUAUUGACUAUGUUGACGUUCCCAAAUAUUUCCUCCCGCAUUAUCACUUCCAUCACCAGUUCCACCUCUUGGACCAUCGUAACCAGAAGCAGAAGUACCUACAACACUAGGUCUAUUAUUAUGGCUAGUACUUGUGGAAUCAAUCUCUUGGUGGGAAUUCAAUGCCGCUUGAAAUGAAUCAUCAGUACCUUUGCUAAAACUUUCAGAGUGAACUUCUUCAGACAACACACGUUCAACAUUAACUCCAAAUUCUCGAGCAUGAGCGACAAUUCGUGGAUCAAGAUUUCCAACUUCGUCAUCCAAGUGUAUAGGCCUAACCCAUUGUAACAAUUGAUUAUCUUCUUUUUUACCUACCUCGGUUGAAAUGUCAAAAAGAUCAAGGUAAUCUUUUUCAGCAACUCGAUCAUUUUCUGUCUCUAUAUCGUGUAACUUUAGCCUCAUAUUAUAGUAACAAAAAACUAUUUGCUCUAAUCGAGGGUAAGUUAAACGAUUUCGUUGCUUUGUGUGGAUGAGAGCAAACGUGCUCCAAUUUCACUCAUAGGCAAAGGAUGACGCAGUUUGUGAGAGAAUUUUGAUGGCUAACUUUCUCAAUAUAGGUGUUUGAUUCCUAUGUAUAAACCACCAUUCAACUGCAACCAAUUUGAUAAUCAUAUAAAUACUUAUGCGGUGAAUUUACAAUAAUGAUAAUCAAAUUUUUCCUAUAAAGACUCAUCGGGCACCAUGGUUGACCUUGCUGUAAGCGUCACUCGAUCACCAAAUCCUCUUUUUGCAUCUCGAAAAAACACAACUAUAUAUUCAACAUUUAAUUUGCUAAUAUCAUAUUUGUUAGUAAACGUUCAAAUAAAUUGAUGAAUGAAAUUAUUGUUUUAUUGACAAAAAACAUCAUGGACUGCUUGAAGUAGUUCCGGAUCACUACCAACUCCACGCCUAUAUUGAAAUCUUGGAUUCAAGAAGUAUGCUACAAUAAAAUUAAGUAGAGUUAGUAUUUUGUUAAAGAAAAUUAAAUACAUAGUAAAAACUUAUAAAAAUAGAUAGUACUUAAGUACCUAUUGCAUGAAGUGGAUGUUUUAGUGUUUUCUCCCAACGAUUUUUUAUUAUUUUGAAGAUCCAAUCUCCAGCUCCUUGACGAAUAAGGUUAUCUUUCAUCACGUGCAUAGGCUUGAACACAAAUGGCAGUGUGGGAACAACUUCAAAAUCCAUAAGUCAAAGCACCAUGUAUAAUGGCUCAUAUAAUGAAACUAUAUUUGUCACUCUGUCCUAAUACAUAUGGUCAAACAAUAAUUGCUCCAAAUCUUGUUCAAUUUUUGUUCGACUAAGCUUGUGUUGUGCCCAUUCAUCACUCAUAAACAAUUUUUUUAAAUCAACCAUUUUUUAAGAAGACUAUCAAGAGCAAUAUAAUUGGUAGCAAACCUUGUAUCUUCUAGUCGAACAAUGUCUCCACCACAAUACUUUCUCAUUUGUGCAAGUAACCAACCAUGGUUGUAAAUGAAGUUAGUUAUCUUGCGAGUAUUGUUUAUCACAUCUAUAACACUGGGUCUUUUACCAAUGUCUUCAAAGAUUAAGUUGAUGCAAUGUGCCGCACACAGAGUCUAAUAUAAGUUAAACCUUUUCAUCAAUUGUUUCCCUACUUUCAUGAAUGACGACCCAUUAUCUAUGACAAUUUGGACCACAUUUUCUUGACCGACUUAUUUGAUAAUAGUCUUCAAUAACUCAUAUAUAUACUUGUGAUCUUUGAUAUGGUUCAAUGCAUCGACUAACUUAAGGAACACCGUGGUCCUUUUUGAAUAAACCAUGAAAUUAAUAAUACUUAAUUUCGUGGGCCCUGUCCAUCCAUCUGACAUUAUUGUGCACCCAUAUGUCUUCUAUUUUUCUCUUUGCUAGUUCACAUAAGCUUCCAUUUCUUUGUACUCCAUUUCCAAGUACUUGUUCUUUAUUUCAUAUGGAGAUGGUGGUUCGAUUUCCAUUCCUACAUUUCAUAUAUAAAAAAUAUGUAAAACAUGUCACAAAAGACUAUACUUACUAAAAGUAUGAAACAAUAUAACAAUUCAAAAAUUAGUAAUUACCUGUUUGUUGUGCACUAAUAAUCAUAUUCUUGAAGUGACGAGACUUUGCUUUUUGGGGUGCGAUACUCUCAUAAACGAAGAAUUUGCUAAUUAAGUGUGUCAUCGUUUCUUUAAUUGAACCACCCUUCAAUAUAUCUUUGAUAUUUUUUUGUCUUGCUACAAAAGACUUGUAAAGCGAAGGGGCAACAGGGGGUGAUUGGUUUGAAUGUCGCAUACUUUGUGAUUUUCGCAUCGUCGUCGGUGUACCAGUAGACCAUGAAGAUUGCCAUUUUGCAUUUGCUACCUAUAAUAUCGUCAUGUUGUUGAGGUUCCCAUUUUGAUGAUUUCGAGGCACGGAAUGCAGAUCGAUAUGCAUUCUGCUCAUCUGAGUGCAUAUCUGUCGGAUACAUAUACACAUUUUCAUCCUUAGCAUCAUCAUCAUCAUCAUUGUCUAUCAAAUGUGUUUCAUGAGUCCCCAUUGUGCCAAGUAAUUGAGCACGAAUCUCUUGAAUAUCAACAACUUUCUUUGCUUUUGUUUCAUUUUUGUCAUGCACCAUCAAUUGUAUCUCUUCUUUCACUUCGGGAGGCACUCUCAGACACUUUUUGGUGAUUUAUGCGAGUCGUUAUGCGUUAAAUGGAACUUGAAUCGCGUGAUGCCUCCACUUUUCAUCAACAACCCACAAAAAUUAUAAAUUGUUCCAUUUCUGUUCCCCUCAACUGGUGAACAAUACUUCCAAGCUGGAUCUUGCCCUGGUAUGGUAGAACCACCUUCACUAGCCAUGCUAAAUCUAUUGCAAAAGAAAUACACUUGAAUGUGAUUUCAAUGUAAACAAAAAUUAAGUCAACAUUUAAAUUGAACAUAUUGCAAUGGAAUGUGAAAAGAAAAUUAAAUAAUAAUGUAAAAUGAGCAUAUUCCAAAUAUGCGAGUCGUUAUGCGUUAAAUGGAACUUGAAUCACGUGAUGCCUCCACUUUUCAUCAACAACCCACAAAAAUUACAAAUUGUUCCAUUUUUGUUCCCUUCAACUAGUGAACAAUACUUCCAAGCUGGAUCUUGCCCUGGUAUGGUAGAACCACCUUCACUAGCCAUGCCAAAUCUAUUGCAAAAGAAAUACACUUGAAUGUGAUUUCAAUGUAAACAAAAAUUAAGUCAACAUUUAAAUUGAACAUAUUGCAGUGGAAUGUGAAAAGAAAAUUAAAUAAUAAUGUAAAAUGAGCAUAUUCCAAAUAUACUAAUUUAUUAUCUAAAUUAAUUAAAUAAUUUAGCUAAGUUAGUUUACUAAAUCUAAAUCUAUGAGAAAUCUACAAAAUAAUCAUAAAGAAUGAACAUAUUUGACAUUCCAAAUAUACUAGUUCAUGUUAAUUAAAUUAAUUAAAUAAUUUAGCUAAGUUAAUUUUUUGAAUCUAAAUCUAAUUCUAGGAAAAAUUUACUAAAUAUAAAAAUUAAUCAUAAUUGAAUAUGAAAAUAAAUCACAAUAAUAAUAAAAAUGAACAUAUUUGAUAUUCCAAAUAUACUAGUUUAUAUUAAUUAAACUAAUUAAAUAAUUAGGCUAAUUUAAUUUUUUGAAUCUAAAUGUAAUUCUAUGAAAAAUUUACUAAAUAUAAAAAUUAAUCAUAAUUGAAAAUGAAAAUAAAUCACAAUAAUCAUAAAAAUGAACAUAUUUGAUAUUCCAAAUAUACUAGUUCAUGUUAAUUAAACUAAUUAAAUAAUUAAGCUAAGUUAAUUUUUUGAAUCUAAAUGUAAUUCUAUGAAAAAUUUACUAAAUAUAAAAAUUAACUAUAAUUGAAUGUGAAAAUAAAUCACAAUAAUCAUAAAAAAUUAACAUAUUUGAUAUUCCAAAUAUACUAGUUCAUGUUAAUUAAACUAAUUAAAUAAUUUAGCUAAGUUAAUUUUUUGAAUCUAAAUGUAAUUCUAUGAAAAAAUUACUAAAUAUAAAAAUUAAUUAUAAUUUAAUAUGAAAAUAAAUCACAAUAAUCAUAAAAAAUGAACAUAUUUGAUAUUCUAAAUAUACUAGUUCAUGUUAAUUAAAUUAAUUAAAUAAUUUAUUUAAGUUAACUAGUUGAAUCUAAUUCUAACUAGAUUGAAUGUGAAAAUAAAAUUAAAUAAUCAUUUAAAAUAAACAUGUCAAUUUAUAAUUAAAUAAUCAAACUAACUUAAGUUAAUUCAAUAAAAAUAUACAAAUUAAUUACAAUUGAAUGUAAAAAUAAUAUUAAAUCAUCCAUAUUGCAAAUAUACUAAUUAAUUGAAAAUACAUGAAUUAAUUACAAUUGAAAACAAAACUAACUACAAUUUAAAACAAACAUAUCUUAAAAUGAUUGAAUGUUUGAGUAGCCUUAGAAAAAUUUGGAGUAAUGAGAGAGCAAAUGAAAAAUGAAAUCAAAUGUGAAUGAAAUGGAUGCAAAAUGGGUUAUUUAUAGGAGAAAUUUGGGCCAAAAUAGUCGUUGGAAGACGAUUUUACCGUUGAAAAAGAAUUUUGGUUGUUAGAUCGAAAUCUUGGUGAAAUCUGACCAUUGGAUCGUAAUUUUAUCGUUGGAAUCUCAUCCUAACCAUUGGAUCAAACCUAGAUUCAAUCUAGGGUGUUGGAUAGAUGACUAUUGUAGGCAAACGUGGCGGGUAGGAUAUGGGCCUUUGGAUCAAUGCAUGUGUGAUCUAGACCAUCAGAUCACGCUGGAGAGAGGAGCAUAACUUUUGCCAAAAAAUUGAUGAUUUAUCGUCGAAAAAUAGUUAAAAUAUCGGUGAUUUUCUUUCGUCUGGGCCGAUUUUUUCAUUAAAUCGGUGAUAUAUUGCCUCUCGCUGAUAAAUCGACGAUAUAUCGAUGAUUUUUUUUAUCGAUUUUCAACGAUUUUUAUCCUCUCCGAUUUUUCUCUACAAAAUAUCGUGUCAGCGUCCUUCGAUGCACGAUAUAUUGACGAUAUAUCGUCGAUAUAUCUCGACAUUUUCUUCCAUGGGUACUACAUGUGACACAUGAAAAACAUUUGUUUGUGAUGGAACUUGAAAUAAAGGUGGUUGAGGUAGAAAUCUAGGUUGAAGUAGGCCACGCCUACUCCUCGUAACGGUUGGGGGAAAAUCUAACUAAGUAGAUGUGACAGUCUCUAUAGGUAAAAGGAAAAAUAUAGAUGGCUCUAGUGGUAGUAGAACUAAUGUCCUAAACUCAGGUCCAAGUGGAAUAGCAAAGGAAACAUUUAGGUGAAAUAAAAAAGAAUCGGCAUAUGAGGUAGCGAGCAAUGAAGGUGGGUAUAAAGUGAUAGGGGAUUGAACUGAUGGUGGGUUUGAAGAGGUAAGAGGUUAUAUUGAUGGUGAGUCUAAAGAGAUAAGGGGUUGUACUGAUGGUGGGUUUGAAGAGGUAAAGGGUUGUAUUAAAGAUGUGUUUGAAGAGGUAAGGGGUUGUAAUGAUGUUAACAUUGACAAGGUGAUGAGUUGACAACUAUUAUAUGUACUUUUCCCUCAAGAAGUCGAUCAACCUCGAAUAAGUGGCAAUUGAGCAACUGUUGAUUGAGUUGGUGGCUUACCUCUUCCAUGCUAUACAUGUGGGAUACGAUAAUCCUCCAGAAUAAAGCUCAUAACAUCACUGGCCAUGUGAAUAAUAUUAAUAAUACAAGUGCAACAAGCAUCACUAUCAGAGUCUUCUAAUGUAUGACCUCCUCGAGAUAUGAUCUAUGUCAGUCUCAAUCUGUCACAUAAAAUGAUAUAUAAUUAUUUGUUAGAAUAAAUGUUAUAUACAAUAUGUAUAUAGUAUUAAAGUGGUACAAACCAAUAAGUGGGUAGAUAAGGUAGUAGCUUGGUAUUGCAUAGGUCCAACAUCAUCCAUAGGUGUAAUAAAGCGAUGUGUAAUACGACAGUACCAUGUCAUGUAUGAAGCAUGGUAGUCCAUAUGAGGCUUUAUAGGCUCCACAAUGACAAUGUGACCCCCCUAGCAUCCUAUAAUGCCACAUAACGCUCAUGAUGGAACCUCCAAUCAUACUGGGCUUGACUGUGUUGAUCUAUGGAGUGAAAGUUAGUAUAUAUGGAGGAUGUUGAUGAAAUACCUUGCAUGAGUCCAAAAUGUCGCAACACAAGCUUAGGACAAUGACACUCGACAAUAUAAAAAAAAUAUAAAUGGCAACAUCGUCUACCAAAUAUUCUAAUAAGCUAAACAAAUGUCUGGAAACAAUGAUAGUAUAUCGUCUAUGUAAGGCUGUCAUAAUACCUGAUACAUUCAAAUCUUAGUAUGUAUAUAAUAAAGUUUAAAUUAUAAUAUUAAUACUAAUAAUCUUGUUAAACAAAAUUAGUAUUUAACUCAAACCUGAUCAGAUCGUUGUUUAUCAGACUCAUCUUUAUAUAUGACCAACACAUGGUGAGGAGUGUUUGUAUGAGAUAAGGGAACCCUUCACCUACUCCAUAGUGCAUUUAUCAAGAGUCUCUCAUCUAUAGGUAUUGGUACAUGGGGAAGUGAUCACUAGAAUGACCCACAUGUACUCACUCCCAUGACUAUAAUUAAAAAUUAAACAAAAUUAUGUUGAAAUGCACAUAAUUAUGGCGAAAUUACAUAAUUAAUAAGACUUGUUAUUAUACCUAUAACAACUGUAAUGGUUUUACAAUAAUUUAUGCACUAUCUAAACUAGCUCGACAUAACUCUCUAUAAAGAUGUGCUAGUGUUGCGUUUCCCUAACUAUAUUGUGCAAUGUCAUCAAAAUCUCUUAACAUGGGUAGAAUUGCUAAUCGAAGGAUGGUUCCCUCCUUAUAUGGACAUAAUGAACCACCCACUAACAAUAAAAGAUAUGCUCAACAUGGCACUAUAACAUGACCUCAUCUAAAACGUCUUAUGGUAAGUGAGAGAAAUGGGUAGUAAUAAAACAAAUUCUAAGGGAUGUUCCACAAAUUGAUUCUUUGUCAGUCAAACUUCGAAUGACUCCUCACAAAGUGCAUGCCAAUUGAUAUCUGUAGUACCAGUGACAAGAUGACCAUGUACAUGUAAUCUAAAUAAGAUGGUUACAUCAUGUAAUGUGAUGGUCAUCUCACCAACUGGCAUGUGGAAUGUGUGUGUCUCUAGGCAUCACCUCUCCACUAGUGCAGUAGUUAAAGGCUAAUCAAGCUAAACAUGACCCACUUGAUGAAAGACAAAAAAAUCCUGAAUGUAUAAUGUAUGACCAAAUAUGAUCAUCCAAAACCCACUCUCGAGGAAACUUAUGUUGACAAGUCAAAAUAGUACCCAUAUCUGGAUCAACAAGAAUGAUGGAUGAUUGAUGAUUGAUGUCGUUGACAGGUAAGCUCGUGUGGUGUAAUAACUUUGUACAAAUUAUCUAAAAUCAACUGAUCAAUAAUGAUAAGUAGCAAGAAUGUGCGAACAUGGGAAUCCUAACUAAAACAUUUUACUACAUGUGCAAGACCCUAUUUAAAGGUUAACAUGAUAUGUGCAAGGUUUUCUAUUACUAUUUCCAAUAGAGCAUCUAGUUUUAAUGUGAAAAUUUCCCUCCACAUGAUCAUACAAAACAACCUCAUGUGUACUCACCUUAACGACUUUAGCAUUUAUCUCAACGUCAAUAUAUGGAGUGAAUUCUUCACUUGAAACAAGUCGAUUUGCACCAUGCUCUUGCUUGACUAUGAAGUAAUUGCUAAUGCAAUAGAAAUUUAACUAAACUAAAGUUGUUAUUGGUAAGUUAUGAGUUCCUUUAAAGACACCAUUAAAAACUUCAGACAUUUUAGUUGUCAUAAUCUCAUAUCUCCACUUGCCAUCAUGUGAGAGUGCCCAUUUUUCAAGAAGAAUCUACUCUAACCAAUAUCUAGCCUAGACAUUUAUUCGCCCAAUUGUAUCCAUGUAAGAAAUAAAUUUUUUAACUUUACUCUCCAUAGCAGCCCUACAUAUGAGAUCCUUUAAAGUCUUAUCUUUGAACCUUGUAUUGAAGUUACUCGUUAAAUAACACAUGCAAAAUCUAUGAUAAGAAUCUGGCUCUAUCUAUCUUGAAUAAGUCUCAUUUAUAGUAGCUAUAAUGCCAGGAUGACGAUCAGAGAUCAGACACAAUCCUUUCCUUUGUGUCAUUCUAACUUUGAUACAUGCCAAAAACCAAUUCCAACUAUUUGUAUUCUUUCCUUCUAUAAUGACAAAGGUAAGAGGAAACAAUUGGUUAUUACCAUCACAUCCCAUAGCAAUCAUCAAAGUCCAUUUAUAUUUUCCAAACAAAUAUGUCCCAUCAAUACUAAUAAAUGGUAGAUAGUGAGUAAACUCUUUAAUAGAUGAAGAGAAUGCCCAAAAAACAGGCUAAAAUUUUUCUUCAUUCGGGGGUAACUUUGCAUAAGACUUGUACCAAUCACCAAAUAAUCAAGUCAUUGCUUUCCUUUUUGCCUUCGUUGCUUUUUGAUAAGAAAUUUGGUAACCAAAUUGUUUCACAACAAUAGCUUGAAUUGUAGCAAUUGUAAUGGUCAUUUGUGUCUUCACCAAUGUUUCAAUAUACUCUAACACAAAGCUAGAAUCCAACUAUGAAUGAUCUUGAUUAAUACAUAGAUUGACACGUGUAGGAGGACCUUUGUAUUUUACGAUUCUAAACAUACUCGUAUCUUUCACCACCAUUGCCCUUAGUCGCCAUUAACACUAUAGUUUUUUUUUUUUGUUUUUUUUGUUUUUUUUGCAUUUAAGAACUAACAUACUUGUAUUUUAUCUAUAAACAGUAAACUCUUGGUGUUACUUUAUGAAAUACAUCUUCACAGCAUGUUGCAAAUCUACUUUUAAGGGAAAUAUUUGGCCAAUUGAUAACUCCCCAUUAACAUUUCCUAAAGUUGGAUUUUUUCAUGGAGUCCAAUCACUUACAACACAAUUAAUUACUCCGUCUAAACUUAAAAGCUAUGGUAUAGGUGGCAUAUGGUAUGAAACGGGUACAAAUGUUGCCUCUUGGUUUUCAUUGGAGAUAUAAACUUGGGUAUCAUGUGAGGAGGCAACUAGUGAUAUGUUUUCAACCUCAAAUUCAACCUCGAGAUCAUUAGACUUAUCACCAACUUUAAGGUUCACAUAUCUUGUGUUUUCACAUUCCACAACUUGUUGGACCAUCACCAAAUCAAUAUUUUCUCUUUGACCUCAAUUUUAAUCAUCAUUAGGUAAAUGAAUCUCAUCUAUAUCGAUUGCAUCAUUUUUAUCAUCUUCCUCAUUAGACAUGUUCCUCGUCAACAUCAGUAUCACCUGCUGACAACCGUGUCAAAUGACCUAUUUCAUUACUCAAAUGAUAGUGAUUGGGAGCUUGCUCCAUGAAUAAUUGAACUGAAAACAUUCCAUACUUCAAUGACACUACUAGCAUACGUGCUAUUGUUCGAUCAUUUCUUUCCAUUAAUGGUUGAAAUUUAUUCAGUCCAAUUGGAUGUCGACAUUUCAAGACUAAUUGAUAGUCUGUCAACACCAAUGAUAUCAUAUAUCAUGUUCAAAAACUCUACAAAGGUCAUAUUGUAGACCCUCCAUUUUGUCUCCUUGGCACAUAUCUUGAUUAAGUACUCUUUCAAUACUUUAUAGCAGUUCUUGAAAGCCUAUUGUUACUCACAUAUCUUACCUCUUUGAGUCAUUCUAGACAUUAGAUACACAUUUAUAACAAUUUGUUUAGACUUAUUUCAGCACAUUAGGCACACCUGACCCAUUUAGGUACGCCUAAUCUUUUAAGGCUUGCUCUAGCACGCCUAAGUCAUUUGUAUAGCUUAUGUGGCUUGCAUGGCCUACAUGGCCUAUGUAGUUUGCAUGUUUUCUUUAUAAAUACAUGUUGUGCACUUAUGUAUAGUUAUCUAUUUAUUUAUUUAUUUGUUCAUUUUCAUAUCUACUUAUAUAUAUAUAUAUAUAUAUAGUCAUUGUAUAUUAUUAUUAUUAUUAUUAUUAUUAUUAUUAUUAUUGUCAUUGUAUUUUAUUUUUUUAAAUUAUCAUCAUUAGAAUUGUUUUUGUUACCAUUGUUUCUAUUAUCAUCAUUAUUAUUAAGAUUAUUAUUAUUUUACUGAUAUUAUUAAUAUUAUUCUUACUAUUAUAUUAUAUUAUAUUUUUAUUUUCAUUUCUAUUUCCAAAAUACUUUUUUAUUUAUUUUUAUUUUAUUUACUUGUUUAUUUAGAAAAAAAAAAAAGAAUUUUUAGUGAGGAAGUGGAAAUGAGCCUCCAUUGGGAAAAGGAGGUUGGGGGAUUACGAGACGUGAAAAUUGAGAAGAAAUGGGAGAAAGAAGGUCAACACAGGUGGGAUUUUUUGAGGAGGCAUUCUGGGAAUUUUCAAGAGGAUAAGCAGAUUUUGUUGUGGGGAUGAACACCAUUAAAAAUAGGGCAACAUCUGAGGAUUUUAGAAGCAUCAACUCGCGCCAUGAGAGGUGAGAGAAUGCCAUCAGAUUUGUCCUUGAAUAACAGUGUGCAUAAGAUUUGAGAACCAGAUUUUCUCUUGAAGAUUGAAAACAUGAUUUUGGAAGAGAAAGAUCAUUAGAUUAUAUUUUUUAGGAGAGAACACAAGCACCAGAAUUUUCUGGGUGGAGAUUAACACCAAAAUUUUCUAAGGAGAGGUUGAAGAGAUCAUAGGGAUUUGUGGCAGAAUUUUGGAGCAACAUAAGGGCAGUCUAAAACGAAGAAAUGGAGGAGCAUCUUGGAUGAGGGGAAUCAUGGACUAGUGAAAAAUGGAGAAGACUGCCACUCGGAGAUGAUAAUAAAAAGAGAAGUCUUUAGAGAUAUGAGGAUUUAAACAAUUUGUGAAGUGGGUCAACACCACAACCCUCGAUCAUCAUCAUCAUAUUCACCAUUGAUUGCAAUAAUUGGCAAAUGAGUUUUUGUGGGUUUGAUUCAAAUGUUGAUAUGUAAAUUUUGGAGGGGUCCCACAUGAUUUCUAACAUCUACUUUGAGAAGACCAGGGACGGUUCUUGAGUUUUGGAGGAAAGACCAGUUCAGGUUGUAGGAGGGAUUCCACUAUCACUCAAAUUUUGGAACUCCACUUUGGGGUGUGUGCAGGUCUUAGUUUUGAGAACAGAAACUAUACCUGUAUCACAUGAUUAACAAGAUCAUGAGUUCAUAGAGAAGAAAUCUGAUCAUCAUCCUGCAUGGUCUUUGGAGGAUGACACCAUUUUGCUCACAAUUAGUUCCAUUGAGAGAUCUCCAUCAAGGUCGCAUUUGUGGAUUUUUCACAGUAGGUUGCCACUCAAAAAGCCCAUCCACGCACAAAUUUUUGCACCACCAGAUUUUGUGAGAGGUAUCCACCACGCACUACUAGGAUGAGAAUAAGGUUGCCACUUUGAACCUCCACUACAUAUCAGUUUAUUCUUUGUAAAAAGAAAAAAAGGAUGCCACUUUAAGAAUAUGACACCACCAGAUUUUGUGAAAGAAACCCACACGUUUUGAUGAAUUUGGAGAGCAACCAUACCAUGCAAAGAAGAUGACAACAAGCUGCCACUUUAAGGACGUCUCAGGAUCUUCUUUUAGAACAUGCAACAUAUAAAGCAUCAUAUUGGAAGGAUUAAGAGCGUUCUAACAGCAACCCCUCUUACACGGUGGAAGGUAAGUUCUCUUUUUAAAUUAUUGUUUUAGUUUAGUUUAAUUUGUUCUAUUAGUUUAGGUCCAUUUAUGAUUUUUCAUCAUUAAUUUAAUCGAUCCUUGGUGUUAUAGUUCAUGCUUUGAUUUGGAUUGAUCUCAUUCUUUUAGUUUGAGUAUUUCUUAUAUUUUUGGUAAAUUGGCUUCUAGGUGAUGCAGUUUUUAUUUUGAAAUUUGUCUUGAUUUAUCUUAUUUCGUUGUAGUUAGUUUAGAAUUUUUCAUUAUAGUGCACUAUACUUCUACAUCUGUAAAUUGGAAUCUGACAACUUAGAAACCAUUUUAAAUUUUUAUAACUAUUCUAUGACAAUCUAGACUCCUUGAACUUAAUUUUAGAAUCUUUCUUGGCUCAAAUAUGGUUUUCCAGUUAGGAGAUAUAAAUCAAAUUUUUAGAAGGUUCAGUUUUCACUCUAUUUUUUAUACUCAGUCUUGUUUUACAAAAUUAAAUUACUAAACAAUCUCUUUAAUUUCUUUGAGCAUUUUUUUUAAUCUAGACUUCUCAAAUUUAAUUUUUGAUAUAUAAAAUAUUAAUAAAUAAUUUCUGAAAUAAAAGAUAUAAUUUUUUAUUCUUGCCUCCACUACAUGAGUGCUCUUCUAGAGCUGAGAUAUGUUUAUUUAUUUUUAAAUAUGUUAUGAAUGUGUUAUCUCUUGAGAUUAUUUUUAAUAUAAAUAAACACAUUAAGAUAGUAUUGUGAAUUUUUGUAUGAUUGAGGACAUCUAUAAGUUAAUUGUAAAAAUCAAUUGUUGAAUACCUUUAGAAGAUGCUCUAUUCUGGACCUAUUAUCAUCAUCAUGAAAUCUGGUACUAAAUGAGGGCUGGUUAAUUAAUUUGGUUACUUAGAUGAUAAACUAGACAUAUAGGAGAUGUCCUCUAAAAAUUUUCUUGAUAAAACUUAACUUCUAGGUAUUUUUUUUAGAUUUAUUUUGUACAGUCUUCUAUUCUAAUCGUUUGCUGAUUCUUUUCUGUGAAGUAACCUCUUUGUGAAUAAAUUUGUUAUUGAUUGGAAUAUAAUUGAUUAAUUUGGCCUAUUGGAUUUUUAUCUAGACAUGUUAAAGAUGUUACCUAAUUUUUAUUUUUGUGAGAUAACCUUUCUUGAUAUUUAUUUGGAGUUUAUUUUGUGAACCGAUAUUCUACCAUUUUAAUGAUAUUUCUUUGCCUUUUGAUAAUCUAGUCACUUUUGAACAUACUUGUGAACUUUCCUUGACUUGAGACAUGCUAAGUGUUAGCCCAAGGGUUCUCUUAAUCGGGUUUUGAUGAUAACAAACCAUGGCUAAGUGACUAAUUGGUUUAAUGAUUAAGAAUCUUAGGUAUAAACUCGAAAAUUCAUCAAAGGACCAAAUGGAUACAAGAUCGAGACGCUUAGAAGACUUGUGAUCAUAGGAAACUAAUGUAAGAUGAAUGCAUGAGUGCACUUAGGAUUUUCACACGUUUCAUGCAACUUAGAAAACUUGUUUUAUUCUUUAAAACUUCGAUUUCAUUAAAACCCAGGUUUUUAACUAAUGUACCUUAGGCAAAAUGUUUUAUAAUUGGCUUAAUAAUUCACCUAAAGACCUUACCUAAGUGUUAGAAAAGAAAGGAAUUAAAAAAUAGGUUUUCGGGGCCAAAAAGGCUCAACCGAUCGAGGCUAUGGCCAACUGGCUCAACCGAUUGAGGAACCGGUCGAGGGAUGCCAAAAAGUUUCUUUCUCUCCAAGUGGCCUUCUCUUCCCGAUCGAGGUGAUUCUCUUCCCGGUCGAGGUCCGGUCGAGGCAACGGUAACCUGUCAUGAAUUAAAUGCUCCAACGGCUAGUGAACCGGUCGACCCCUAGCUCGACUGGUAAAGGUUACUUUUUGCUGUUUUUGACUCUCGAGCUUAGAAACCUAUAAAUUGAGAGCUCUAAUUCAUUUAUUGACAAGAGAACACUUGCAAUCAAUUGUCUACCUACCUGUUCUUGACCACAAAGCUCUCAUUUCUUUCAUAGUGCAUUAAAUCAUCACUUGCAUAUCCUUUAGUGCACUCUUGUGUGUCAUCCUAGCUUUGUCUCGUGUUUGAGCUAUCCUUAAGCUAGGUUGAGGGAUUCUUUCUUGUAAAAAUCUGAGUGUUAAAGCCUUCAAGAGGUUUGAAUCUUGAAAAGAUUGUGUAAGAGUCCAUUGGAGCCGGAAUCCAAGUGUAAGAAGAUUGGAAGCUUGGUUGAAGCUUCAAGUUAGUGGAACCCUCACUCGGUUAGGAGAUUGAGGAAAGUGGACGUAGGCAAGGAAGUGCCAAACCACUAUAAAACCCGAGUUUGAAUUCUCUAGCUCUAUCUCUUUAUUUCGCUUAUAUUGUGUUUGAAUUUGUUGUGAUUGAAAAGAUUUUAAAAACCCAAUUCACCCCCCUCCCCCUCUUUUGGGUGUUUUUCUUAAUUAAGCAUAACCUUUGUUUUCUCAAUUGGUAUCAGAGCUAGACCUCUUGUUUUUUAAAGACUUAAUCGUCUAAGAGAAAAUGACUAUUCCAUCAAGCUCAUCCCAAGCUGAAAAUUUUUCAAAACAUAGAGCUCUAUUAUUUACGGGAACCGACUAUCCCUAUUGGAAAACUAGAAUGACUUGGUAUUUGCAAUCUACUGAUUUAGAUGUAUGGAAUGUCAUUGAAGAUGACCCAACUUUUCCCACUAAACUAGUCAAUGGAGUUUUGGUUCCAAAACCCAAGCAAGAAUGGAAUGAGCUUGAUAGAAGAAACUUUCAAUUAAAUGCUAAAGUCGUUUUUACUUUGCAAUGUGCUAUGGAUAGAAAUGAAUACAAUAGAAUAUGUCAAUGCAAAUCGGCUAAAGAAAUUUGGAGAUUGCUUGAAAUAACUCAUGAAGGAACUAAUCAAGUGAAAGAGUCAAAAAUUAAUUUACUUGUUCAUAACUAUAAAUUGUUUUCAAUGAAAGAAAAUGAGAUUAUUGUUGAGAUGAUUACUAAGUUCACCGACAUUGUCAAUGGUCUUGAAGCUUUGGGAAAAACCUACAAGGAAUCUGAGAAGGUGAUGAACAUAUUGAGGUCUCUCCCAUCAAAGUGGCAUACCAAGGUCACCGCAAUUCAAAAAGCAAAAGACUUGACUAAGCUACCUAUGGAAGAGCUCAUAGGGUCAUUAAUGACAUAUGAGAUCAAUUUGACAAAGAAGUUACAAGAGGGUGAAGACAAAAAGAAGAAGAGCAUAGCCCUCAAAGCUACAACCAAGGAAGAAGAAGAUGUUGAAGAGGAAAAACCAAGUGAUAAAGAUCAUGAUUUAGCCCUCAUCACAAGAAAGCUUAACAAAUACAUGAGAGGUGAAAGGUUUAGAGGAAGGAAGUUCACCUCUAGAAGAGAUCCUUCUAAAAAGGAAUCUUCAUCCCAUGGUGACAAGGAGAUAUUGGAAGAGAAAAGAGAUUUGAUAUGCUUCAAGUGCAAAAAACCGGGACACAUUAAAUAUGAUUGUCCUCUCUACAAGAGUGAAGCCAAGAGAAGAAUGAAGAAGACAAUGAUGGCCACUUGGAGUGAAAGUGAAGAAUCCUUCGAAGAAGAAAAGGAGAAGGAAGUGGCAAACAUGUGCUUCAUGGCAAUAGAUGAUCUUGAUGAGGUAAACUCUAACUUUAGUGAUGAAGAUAUGCAUGAUGUUUUUGAAGAAUAAUAUGAGGAUUUUGAAAAACUUAGUUUGAAAAAUAAUUCUCUUAAAAAGAAAAUUCAAGAACUUGAAAAGGAACUUGAAGAAAUAAAAGAAAAAUUUUCAAUUGUUGAAAUAUCUAAAACUCAUCUUGAAAAAGAAAAUGAGAUUUUGAGAAGUGAAAAUGAGAUUUUGAAAAAGAAAAAUGAAUGGUUGACCUCCUCUCUCUCAAUUUUCUCUUGUUGACAAAAAUAUUUUGAAAUGAUCUUAGCUAGCCAAAAAUGUGUCUUUGACAAAGAAGGGCUAGGAUUUAAAUCUUCAAAAAAUCAAAAGUAUUUUAAAAACUACUUUGUAAAAGAAUCUACAAGUGCAAGUCCUUCUACCACCUGCAACUUUUGUGGAAGAGGAGGGCACAUUAGUAGUACACGUCCCUUAAGAAAUGGUUCUCAAAGGAAUUCUAAUGCUAAAGCUAAAAAGGUUUGGGUUGAGAAAUCCAAGGUCACUAACCCUCAAGGACCCAAAAAAAUAUGGGUACCUAAAUCAACUUAAAUUUUAUUUUGUAGGGAUCAAAAAAGGAUAAGUGGUUCUUAGAUAGUGGAUGCUCAAGACACAUGACCAGGGAUGAAUCCAAGUUUGUUUUUCUUACAAAGAGGAAGGGAGGAUACGUUACCUUUGGAGACAAUGCAAAAUGAAGGAUCAUUGGUUAAGGCAACAUUGGUAAUGACACAUCCUCUCUUAUUGAAAGUGUUUUAUUAGUGGAUGGUUUAAAACAUAAUCUUUUGAGCAUAAGUCAACUUUGUGACAAAGGUUUUAAAGUGAUUUUUGAAGCAUCUCAUUGCAUCAUCAAAGAUAUUCAAAAUGAUAAAACCAUCUUCAUGGGCCAUAGAUGUGAUAAUGUUUAUGCAAUAAAUAUUUCAAAAUAUGAUGGCCAUGAUAGAUGCUUUUCAAGCAUGCAUGAUCAAAGUUGGUUGUGACAUAGGAGGUUGGGACAUGCUAACAUGGACCUCAUUUCCCAACUCAACAAAGAUGAACUUGUUAGAGGCCUUCCCAAAAUAAAUUUUCAAAAAGACAAAGUUUGUGAAGCUUGUCAAAUGGGAAAGCAAAUAAAAAACUCUCUUAAAAACAAAAAUUUCAUUUCAACAACUAAGCCUCUUGAAUUGUUGCAUAUGGAUUUAUUUGGUCCCUUUAGGACACCAAGCCUUGGAGGAAAAUCUUAUGCAUUUGUUAUUGUGGAUGACUUCUCUAGAUACACUUGAGUCUUAUUUUUAAGUCAAAAGAAUGAAGCCUUUUAUGAGUUUUCAAAGUUUUGCAACAAGGUUUAAAAUGAAAAAGGUUUUACAAUUACUUGUAUAAGAAGUGAUCAUGGGAAAGAAUUUGAAAAUAUUGAUUUUGAAGACUAUUGCAAUGAGCAUGGUAUUAACCACAAUUUUUUAGCUCCUAGAACUCCUCAACAAAAUGGGGUAGUUGAAAGGAAAAAUAGAACUCUUCAAGAAAUGGCUAGAACCAUGCUAAAUGAAAACAAUUUACUAAAAUACUUUGGGGCCGAAGCGGUUAACACUUCUUGUUAUAUUUUAAAUAGAAUUUUAUUAAAGCUUAUUCUUAAGAAAACUCCCUAUGAGCUUUGGAAAAACAAGAAACCCAACAUUAUCUAUUUCAAAGUCUUUGGGUCAAAAUGCUUUAUAUUAAACACCAAAGACAAUCUUGAAAAAUUUGAUGCAAAAUCGGAUGUUGGAAUUUUUCUUGGUUACUUAACUUCAAGUAAAGCCUUUAGAGUUUUUAACAAAAGAACCAUGGUUGUUGAGGAGUCCAUCCAUGUUAUUUUUUAUGAAUCUAACAAUUCUCUCCAAGAAAGAGAGAGCUUUGAUGAUGAUUUAGGCUUGGAGACCUCCAUGGGAAAAUUACAAAUUGAAGAUAGAAGGCAACAAGAAGAAAUUGUAGAGGAUCCCAAGAAAGAAGAAUCACAUUUGACACUACCUCCUCCUCAACAAGUGCAAGGUGAAUCAAGCCAAGACCUUCCUAAAGAUUGGAAGUUUGUCAUCAACCACCCACAAGAUCAAAUUAUAGGUAAUCCAUCUAGUGGGGUAAGAACUAGAUCAUCUCUUAGAAAUAUUUGCAAUAAUCUUACUUUUAUCUCUCAAAUUGAACCUAAAAAUAUAAAAGAUUCUCUAAUUGACGAAAAUUGGAUGAUUGCUAUGCAAGAAGAGUUAAACCAACUUGAAAGAAGUGAAGUAUGGGAAUUAGUGCCAAGACCUCAAAAUCUAAGUGUUAUUGGAACUAGAUGGGUCUUUAGAAACAAAACGGAUAAAAAUGGCAUAAUUAUAAGGAAUAAAGCAAGAUUGGCAGCCCAAGGUUUUAAUAAAGAAGAAGGGAUAGAUUAUGAAGAAACCUUUGCUCCUGUAGCUAGAUUGGAAGCCACUAGGAUGCUACUUGCCUUUGCAUGUUUUAAAAACUUUGUUUUAUAUUAAAUGGAUGUGAAAAGUGCUUUCUUAAAUGGCUUUAUAAAUGAAGAGGUAUAAGUUGAACAACCACCCGACUUGCAAAGUUUUAACUUUCCCAAUAAUGUUUUUAAACUUAAAAAGGCACUUUAUGGUUUGAAACAAGCACCUAGAGCAUGGUAUGAAAGAUUGAGUAAAUUUCUUUUGAAAAAGGGUUUUAAAAUGGGAAAAAUUGACACAACUCUUUUCAUAAAAACCAAAGAAAAUAACAUGCUCUUAGUGCAAAUAUACGUUGAUGAUAUCAUUUUUGGAGCUACUAAUGUCUCUCUUUGUGAAGAAUUUUCUAAAUGCAUGCAUAGUGAGUUCGAAAUGAGCAUGAUGGGAGAACUUAACUUCUUCCUUGGACUUCAAAUCAAGCAACUAAAGGAAAAAACCUUCAUCAAUCAAGCAAAGUAUAUAAGAGAUCUCCUCAAAAGGUUCAAUAUGGAGGAAGCUAAAACAAUGAAGACUCCAAUGAGUUCAUCCAUCAAGCUUGACAAGGAUGAAAAAGGUAAGUCCGUCAACUCAAUUAUGUAUAGAGGCAUGAUAGGUUCAUUGCUAUAUUUGACCGCUAGUAGACCCGACAUCAUGUAUAGUGUAUGCUUAUGUGCUAGAUUUCAAUCUUGUCCUAAAGAAUCUCAUUUAAGUGUUGUAAAAUGAAUUCUUAGAUAUUUAAAAGGGACAAUGGACAUAGGCUUAUGGUAUCCUAAGGGUGAUAACUUUGAAUUAAUUGGAUUCUCGGAUGCUGACUUUGCCGGUUGUAAAGUUGAAAGGAAAAGCACUAGUGGCACUUAUCAUUUCCUAGGACACUCAUUUGUUUCAUGGCAUAGUAAGAAGCAAAAUUCGAUAGCUUUGUCUAUGGCGGAAGUCGAAUACAUAGCAGCCGGUUUAUGUUGUGCACAAAUCCUUUGGAUGAAACAAACACUUAGUGAUUUCAAUUUGAUUUUUGAGCAUGUUCCUAUUAAAUGUGAUAAAACUAGUGCCAUAAACAUUUCAAAAAAUCCGGUGCAACACUCUGGGACUAAGCAUAUAGAGAUUAGACACCAUUUUCUUAGAGACCAUGCACCAAAGGGUGACAUUACACUUGAAUUUGUAAGUACCAAAGAUCAACUUGCCGAUAUUUUUACAAAACCUCUAAGUGAAGAGCAAUUUUUUGAUAUUAGAAGACAACUAGGGGUGAUUUCUUUAUGAUCAAAUGAUUGCUUGAUGAAUUCUUGAUUGAAUACCUUAUGAUUGUGUGAAUUUCAUAUCAUAUGCAUCAUAUAGAAAUAAUCUUAGGAAAAAGGUCAAAUUUUGACCAAAAAUCAAAAUUCCCUUAGCAUUGGACAUAAAAAAUUGGGGAUUUCAAUUGAAAAGGGCAGGGGGAGGGUUACGAAAUGAGAAAAUGCAAAAAAUUGGAUUGUUGACCGUUGAUCGUUGACCAAGCGGUCGACCGGUUGAAGAACCGAUCGAUCGGUUUGUCGAGGCUGGGAAUUUAAAAAGACCCAUCGCACUUCAUUUUUCACCUGUUCUCCUCCACACCUUGAAGAUUCUUCACAUCCCUACCUCCAGAAAUCAGUUUGGGCAAGAUCUUGGACUAUUUGCAGGCUUUGGAGUGGAUUUUAGGACGCAUUUGAGGCUAGGGUUUCAAUCUAAAACCUAGGGUUUUCAGUUUUGGGAUCUUUUUCUCUCUGACCGCGUGCCUUAAGCUUGGAUUCAGCCUCAUCUCAAUGCGUAUAGGGCUUCAGGUUGGACUUCAUCCUCUCUCAUUUGGUUUCAGCCUCAUCUCUGUGCGUUUUUCUUUAUUUUUCCGUUAUUUGGAUGGCACCUAGGUGAGAGACGGACACCUCUAGGGCUCAGGGCAAACGCCCUGCUGAGCCAUCUCAGCCUGAGCAGACAGAGGCUCACCGAAAGGCGAGGUAUGACACGGCCCUAUUCAGUUCCGUCAAAGAUUAUUAGCGAUACAAACAAAAAUUCGCCCAAAGGAAAGUCGUUCCAGGGAAAAGUAUCAAUUUCUCCCAACUUCAGCACUUCAAGUUUGAGGGACUCUUCAGUCGGAUGGGAUAGCUGCCCGUUGUGACGAUUUUCGAGCCGAUCUUCCCGACUCUAGUGAGGACAUUUUAUUCAUGGGUGACCUAUGGGCUUAGAGGAUCGGUCAUGUCCACGGUUAGAGGAGUUGAGAUUAGAUUUAGCCCGGAGAGUAUCUGCCGCAUUCUCGACAUCCCUUCAGUUGGACUCCAAGUAUAUGAGGCCAGGGCAUGGCCCACUGUGCUGAGAUUUGAGCCUAGAGAGGCUAUUCAGAGGUUGUGCGGACUUGCAGAUGCCCAGGGGAUGGGCAACCAUCGGCACAUAGCCUGACCGUGUCCAGCCAAGUCAUUCAUCAUAUGAUUUGCUCCAUCUUAUAGCCACGAGGUGGACAUCAGGACGAGGUCUCCUACCUUGUGGCCUUCAUUGUGAACUCGAUUCUGACAGGAAGACGGAUUCACAUGGGGUAUCUGAUGAUGAUGCAUAUGAUAUCCUGCGUUGAGAGCACGACCCAAGGAUUCCCCCAUGACCGCUUCCUUACCCGAGUAUUCAAGGAUGUCGGGGUUAACUUGAGUAGAGAGACUGAAUUCGAGGCCCCUACUAGUUAUGACACUUACGAUGAGCAGUCCUUGGGGCAAAUGAAGUUCGAGAAAGCACCCAAUGGCUCCUGGAUUAGGAGAGUUGAGCGACAGGUCUAGGAACAGGGACAAAUGUAUCCCGGAGCAGAGGAGGAGGCCGAGAUCAGAGAGAUGGAGGAUGGGUUAGACCCUCAAAGGGAUUUUGAGCAGAAAGGGCUCGAGCUUGACAUUCCGCCUCCACCUCAGUCAGAGGGUAUUCAUGUUAAGGCCACUUUCUCAGAGCCUAUAAUGAUUGAGCCGUCUUACACAACAGGACCAUCAUCUCAGCCAUCAUUUAUCGAGUUUUCUCACACAGAGAUACCAUCUCAGGCACCUCAUGCUCCAAAUCAUGCGCCUUAGAUUGAUGUAUCAGCUUAGAUCAGCUCCCUUGGGACUCAUAUGGAGGAGCUUGCUUUAGUCCAUGACACUCGUUUCUACUCUAUGGAGAAGUGCAUAAAGGAGCGUAUGGAUCAGCAGCAGGCUAUAUUCGAGCAUCUCCAGCAGAGUAUUGAUCGCAUUGAGAGUCGUUAGGUGAGUCAGCAUGACGAGAUGAUGGCUUACCUCCGCUCUGUGUUUCCUCAGCCUUGAGUUUAUCUAGAGUUCCCCCUCAAUUUCUUUUUUAUGUUGCCAAAGGGGGAGAAAUAUCUAGGAUCUAGGAGACCCUCAUGCAUAUCAUUGUCAUCAUUGUCAUAUCUAUCUUGUUUAGCGUAUGUUUUCGUGUACAUGUGAGGUUACCAUAUAUAUAUGAUAUGAUAUUUUCAUGAUCCAUUGUUUCCUAUUCAAAUUUUCGUGAUUUACAUUGUUUCCUAUUAAAAAUUGUUUGAUUGAUCCAUGAUUGGUUUGAGGGGGAGAUUUUUUUCUCUUCUAGAUAACCAAGGUUUGUCAUCAUAAAAAAGAGGGAGAUUGUUAGCCCAAGGGUUCUCCUAAUCAGGUUUUGAUGAUAACAAACCAUGGUUAAGUGACUAAUUGGUUUAAUGAUUAAGAAUCUCAGGCAUAAACUCGAAAAUUCAUCAAAGGACCAAAUGGAUACAAGAUCGAAAAUCUUGGAAGACUUGUGAUCAUAAGAAACUAAUGUAAGAUGAAUGCAUGAGUGCACUUAGGAUUUUCAUGCAACUUAGAAAACUCGGUUUAUCCUUUAAAACUUCGAUUUCAUUAAAACCCGAGUUUUUAACUAAUGUACCUUAGGCAAAAUGUUUUAUAAUUGACUUAAUAAUUCACCUAAAGACCUCACCUAAGUGUUAGAAAAGAAAGGAAUUAAAAAAAAUAGGUUUUCGGGGCCAAAAAGGCUCAAGCGGUCAAGACUAUGGCCAACCGGCUCAACCGAUUGGGGAAUUGGUCGAGGGAUGCCAAAAAGUUUAUUUAUCUCCCAGUGGCCUUCUCUUCCCGGUCGAGCUCCGAUCGAGGCAACGGUAACCUGUCAUGCAUUAAAUGCUCCAACGGCUAGUGAACCGGUCGACCCCUAGCUCGACCGGUCGAGGUUACCUUUUGCUGUUUUUGACUCCCGAGCUUAGAAACCUAUAACUUGAGAGCUCCACUUCAUUUAUUGACAAGAGAACACUUGCAAUCAAUUGUCUACCUACCUGUUCUUGACCACAAAGCUCUCAUUUCUUUCAUAGUGCAUUAAAUCAUCACUUGCAUAUCCUUUAGUGCACUCUUGUGUGUCAUCCUAGUUUUGUCUUGUAUUUGAGCUAUCCUUAAGCUAGGUUGAGGGAUUCUUUCUUGUAAAAAUCUGAGUGUUAAAGCCUUCAAAAGGUUUGAAUCUUGAAGAGAUUGUGUAAGAGCCCAUUAGAGCCGGAAUCCAAGUGUAAGAAGAUUGAAAGCUUGGUUGAAGCUUCAAGUUAGUGGAACCCUCACUCGGUUAGGAGAUUGAGGAGGGUGGACGUAGGCAAGAAAGUGUCGAACCACUAUAAAACCCGAGUUUGAAUUCUCUAACUUUAUCUCUUUAUUUCGUUUAUAUUGUGUUUGAAUUUGUUGUGAUUGAAAAGAUUUUAAAAACCCAAUUCACCCCCCUCCCUCCCCCCAUUUUGGGUGUUUUUCUUAAUUAAACAUAGCCUUUGUUUUCUAACUAAGUGUAUAUAUAUAUAUAUAUAUAUAUAUAUAUAUAUAUAUAUGUUUAGUUAUUUUUUUUUAUUUAUUAUUCUUUAAUCUUAUCAUUAUUAUUGGUGAAUUAACCUCAUUUUUAUAGAAUCAUUGACGCUUGCUACACAGGUACGCUAUCUAUUUUCCCAUUUUAAAGUUCCAUGAAUAUGUAUGUCAUUAAGAACUAUAUCCUUGUUUGAUAUUAACUUUGGGUACCUUGAUGUUCAUUUGGUUUCCUUUGAUAAAAUGCAUGUUGAGUAAUAUAAUACUUGAACUAACUUUGGUGUUUUAUGAUAGCAUUUAAGUUAUAGAUCUAGGUAUGCAUAUUAUCCUUUCUUUAUGAUAGUGGUUUGAAUCCUUGUUUGGCAUGUUAGAAUUAGUAUAGUUUUUGAAAUCACCUUAACUUAUCUAAGUAUUCAUUAUUAAGUAAUUAAUUGUCAUAUUUCCCUUAACUAAGUUAGUAGAGACCUUGUUAGGGCUUAGAGGGGUGCUACCUCUUUGGAGGUACCUUCCUGAUAGGUAACCUAAUCCCCAGACCCAAACUCAGGUUUUUCGUAGACAACUUUUCCAAAAAAAAAAAUCAGGAGUUCUUUUAGGGGUUUUGUUCUUACUUGUUUUCCCCUUUAAAAAUAAAUAAAAGUAAGUGGUGACUCCAACUUUUUAUAAAAAUCCAUUUUUCACUUUAAUCAAAAGUGAGUCUCGCCAAUUGAGUGGGAAUGCAUCGUGAAAAAUGUGGAUCCACACAUAUGAAUAGGCAUAUCUAUAGACUCAAUCUCUACAUUAUUUCCAAUAUAUCUCAAAUUUUUUUUUGUCCACAAAAUUGUUUCAUUCAAAUAACAUAACACUUCUAUUGUGGAAUCAGUCAUAAUUGUCUUCACAGACAUAAUAAUAAAAGGUUAUUACAUCACAAAUAAUAUUCAUUCAAGUAAAAAAUUAUACUUUAUAGUCAGUUAUUCAUAAAAGAAAAGAAUAAGCCAAAUAAAUAUUGAAAUGGGACAAAGCUUCAUGUCUAAAUACCAAGUUCAACUCAAAUGAAAGCAAUUUAAGUAUGGACAUUUUCAUAAAAUUUAUAGGAAAUUUAUGUCCUUAACCAACACAAUCAAUAAUAAGAUCAACAAAAAACUAAUAACAACAAGUUUUUUAUUCUUUUACUUUUAGGAACAUUUGUAAAAAGGAAAACCAUACAUCAAAAUAACCAUACAAUAAUGAACAUUUAGGAUUAUCAAUUAUUUGUUUGUCAAAGCAUAUUUUUAUGGUGACAUUGAACCUAAAUCAAAGUGUGAAUAACAUUUUUUUCAACUAAGGAAAACCAAGUUCACUAGCAUCAACUCCAUCAAUUUCAUCAAAUUUAAUAAGUUUAAAGAAUUUUAAAACUUGAAUUAAAAGCAAUGAAUUAAAAAAAACAAAACUUAAUUAAUUUAAUUGUAAUAAAAUACUUUUUUUUAUAUGAUAAGAAGGAAUUAAAAAUAAACAACCAUCAACUCCAUCAAUUUCAUCAAAUUUAAUCAUUUUAAAAAGAAAUAAAAAUUUAAUUAAAAGCAACAAACUAAAAAAGAACAAAACUUAAUUAAUUUAAUUAUAAUAAAAUACUUAAUUUUAUAUGAUAAAAAGGAAUUAAAAAUAAACAAUCAUUACACUGCAAUCCCACUUUACCCGUUGAAUAGCUAUUUAAUAAUAUUUAAAAUGAAAUCUUUUUUAAAACUCCAUGAAAUUUUUGUUAAAAUUCACUUAGUGAUAUUAAAUAUAAUUUAUUAAUUCCAUUAUAUUUCAUACCCAUGUAAAAUAACCUUAGUUAUUUGAAUUUAUUGUGACUAGCAAUAAACCUUUUCUAAGUUAUUAAAUGGUUAAAAUCAUUCAAUUGAGGGAAAAUUAGUACAAACUCAAAUUUAGUUAUGGAAUGAUUUGUGAUCAAAUUAGCCCAAGGUAGAGUUUUUCAUUAUUAAAUUAUACUAAUAAAGAGAGAAUUAGAGACUCAAUCCCUCACCCACACUGACAGUCUUAGAAUAUAUUUGUUUCUUUUUCACACCCAAUACUUUUUGUCUACAUGUUUACAUUAAACAAGGAAGUUGUUGGACCACUUAAUGACUUUAAAUAAUUUAAUUUCUCGUAUUAUGAAAAAGACAAGAGAAAAUUAUUUAGUUAAGUGAGUCCAAGACCAAAAAAAUUUUGGUGUGUUAUGUACCAAAAAACAUGUGUAGACAUGUGACCCAAAAUCCUCCAAAAAUAUUAAAAUACCAUUUGCCAUAAACACCAAUAUACAAACUUACAAUAAAUAAUAAACAUUACAAAGAAUACAAAUUUAAGCAGAGAGAAAUAGAAUGAGAGAGACAACAACCUAGCACUUUAUGGAUCCAAUAAAAAAAUAACCCAGAAAUUCACAAAGACAAUGAUGAUAACAGUAAAAUGAUUAUUUCUAUUUGUUUUUCAUCUCUAACCUGUAGGUUGCAGUCUUCACCCUAUCUAUAGGUGAAGACCUGAACCAUGAAAUUCUAAAUCUAAAAUGAAGGAAAAGUGAACCUGAAAAUGUGUUUGGUCAUCAUUUUAAGGAAAAACCCAAGUGUUGUUGUUUGGUUACAGAGAAAACUUUACAUAAUAACAAGCCAAAAAGAAGAUUGGGACCAACCUAAAGCUUCAUACUUUGCAGCUCCCACAAUAUCUCUCUCAUAGUGGGCUAAUGGUGGGGCUAGGGUUUAAAGAAAAAAAGUUGAGAUAGUGAGAAUGGGAUGGUGAAAGGGAAGAAAAAGUGAUUGGAGCCAAAAUAUGUGCUCUAAUGGCACAUAUUCGAUAUGAUUUGUGCACCAAAGGACAUUCAAAUCACCGAACUUCGCCUAAAUCGAUGCUAAGGCCUUAGCCAUAAGUUUAAUUUGUACUUUGGAGACUUAUCUCAGGUUCAAGGGAAGAAAAGGGUGCAAGUUGAAUUACUUUGGAUUUUGAAAGAUCAAGAAAGGGCUAAAUGAGGAAAUAAGUGAGUCAAGACUCAUGGACAAUAAAGAAAGGCAAGAAGAGGAUAUCAUGAGUUUGGAAGAUGAGAAAUGACCAUUAUAGAGUAAGAAAUAAGGCAAGAAAACAUGGGAAAUGAGGCAUGAAGCAAGAUUCAGCUGCAUGGAAAUUUAGAACUCAAAAAUCUGAUGGUAAUAUAUACUUUGACUUUGAGGACAAAUUUAGAGAACUUUCCGGACUCCAUUUUAUACAUACUAUAUAUCGUUUUGAAGCUCGGGAAGUCAGAAGUCUCAACGCUUCAAACGGUGUACAAAUGGAGCUGAAAUGAAGAAGUUAUGACCAUUUGAAGAUAAUUGCACCAAGUUGAAGGGUCAUUUCGAAAUGAUUUCGAAAUUCAACUUAUGAAUUUGAAAUCCACUUUGAAAUGACACCAAUUUCGAAUUCACCCAUUGCCACUUUGAUGUUUCAUCUUCCCUACCUCAGGAAUUGCAUCUAGGGCACUCCAUCCCCCUAAGUGGACCCCACACGACUAGAAAUCACCAUUUUAUUAUUUUUAAUUAUUUUUAGGAAAUUAUUUUGUAAUAAGUAGCCAAUGAGAGUGUGCCACAUGUUAGGUAAUUGAUGAUAUUAUAUAAACUCUCUUAAUUCUAGGUUUUAGGGAUCUUGGAUCUUUUUCCGAAGAGUUUGACAUUGAAGGUGGAAGAAGAUGAGAACUUUGGUUUGUUUUCUUUUUCUUUUUUAUUAAAUAUAUUGUUUUAGGUUCUUUUGAUUCAAAUUAUGGAUUUUUACCCUAUUAUGGAUUGUGAAUGUGACAUCACCCCCAUGAGAGGCUAAAAGCCAACUUGGGGCUUGAAGCAUGAAAACCUAAGGGUUAGGAAACCUAUAGGGACAAUGGGUAAAUUAUUAUAACAAUGAGAUUAAUUAUUGGUUGGAUUACAAUUUAUCAAUUUUUUUUAUCCUAUCCUUAUGAGUUAGUUUAGGGAAUGAUACGGUAGGUUAUUACCUCAUACUAGUGAUUCUUGGUAAUUCUUGAUCAUUAGUUGUCCUUGUCUUCCCUAUCGUUAUUUGCCCCAAAACAAAGCUAUAAGGAGUAGGAAGGGUUAAAAAGCCAAAUCUUAAACUGGUAAUCAAUCUCAUUCUUUUGAUGGUUUUAGGAAUCUGUUUUAAAAAUGAAAAAUUAGAUUUCGGAUGCAAUUUUGAGUUAUAGAAUUCAACUUGAUUGCGAGCAACCAAGGAUCCCAAAACCCUAAGAUCAUAUUACUUAAAAGACCCUUGUUUUCUUUCAUUUCUAUACCCUAGGUUAGAUUGUGGAAAGCCCAAAACUUGAAUCAAUUGAAUUUAAAAUCAAUAUUCAUUUUGUUAUUAAUUUAAUUUCUUUUACUUAGUUUUACAUUAUUCUCAUAUUGUUUUUCACUUUAGGAUUUAAACGAAAGCAAUUAAUUUAUUCUAGUGUUGACAAUUUCCAUAAGCCAGUCCUUGAGGACGAUACCCGGAAUACUAUAAAAGUCGUAGUGACUCUUUCUCUAGUUUUUCUUGACCAGAGUUGCUACGUAAAAAGGCUAAGUAUUUUGGUACAACAAAGAAGUCUAGUCAGAAAGUGAACUAGAAAAAAAAAAAAAAAACCUUUGUGCCAAUGUGGAAAAAGGAGUGCCAUUUUGAAUAAUAGUUUCACAUAGAGCCCAAACUUAACUUUAUACAUGGAUAGAAGCUCAUUUUGGCUCAAAACUCAUUCUUAUCUCCCAAAGACAUGAAAACAAUGGUUUGUCACAAUUCUUUCCAUUUCUUCAUAGUUUUUUUUUUUAUUUUUUUAUAUUUUAAAGUAAACUCCCUAUAUUUCUCCAUUGUUACAUUUUUACAUCUCUAUAUCAAGCUCGCGAAGUGGCAUGCCUAAGUAUUCUUCCAUUGUUACAUAGAGGAAGUGAGCAAAUAAUUAAGCAGCCUAAUAUAGAUUAAGGUGGCACUUGUGUUUUGACUAAAUAAAAGAAACUAAAAUAUUUGACUUUUUUUCUUUAAUUAAAAGUAAUCAGUUGAUAUCAAUCAAUAUAACUAAAAUAAACUUGUUAUCAAUUACAUCAAUUUAGUUAUGGUAAUUGAUAUUUAAUAGGUUACUUUUAACUUAAUAAAAAAUUCAAAUAUUUUACUUUUUUAUAUUAAGUCAAAAAACAAAUAUCACCUAAGCUAGUUUAAACAUUAAUAAAAUUUAUGGGUCCACAAUGUAUAGUGAAACUUACACACAAAAUUUUAGUAUAUGCAUGUUUAGGUUAUGAUAUUUAGUUGUCCUUUUUUUUUUUUUUCUUUUAAUAAUAUUCCAACCAAUGAUACGGAGCUUUCAUUAUUACAACUUUUUACACUGUAAAAAAUGAAAAAGAAACAAGGGGGGUCUUUUCUUCCAUGUGGGGUAUAGUUUGGUCAUUUCUGUCUCUGAAGAGGAGCUGUCUCGGGUAUCCUCAUUGGCUUAAAAUUUGAACACAUCAAGUCUCCAUACCUUAUUGCAAUGUUUGGUUUUAUAAAUUUUGAGGGAAAAUGGAAGAGAAAGAAAAUAUAAAAGAAAAGUAGAAAGAAAGAAAAAGUGAAAGAAAAUAAAAAAUAGAUUAAAAGUUGAUAAGCUAUUUUUUUUUGUCACUUCAAACUUUUUUUAUUUAUUUUAACUCAUCAAUAUAAAAAUUAAAUAAUUUAAAAAUACAUAAAAUUUUAAUUAAUUUUAAUUAUAUUUUAUUUUCUUUUAUAUUUUUCAUAGACCAACCAAACAUGAAAAAAAUCAUUUUUUUUAAUAUUUUUUUUCUUUCCUUAAUAUUAUUUUCUAGUAACCAAACAUAACCUAUAUGCAUCUCACCAUUUGAUGCGCUCCCAUCACUACAUUGAGCCAAAUCCAAUGGGAACAAACUUGGUGAUGUUUAGUGCAACCGUUAUUCCUUCAAAGUGGAGCCCACUAUUUUUUUUUCUUUUUAGGUUGAUGAAUGUAUGUUCAACAACCAGUCACACUCAACGUGUGUAAUGAAAUAUAAUCUGUUGGAAUAAACAUGGAAAGAUAUACCAUAUGGGUAAUUAAAAAAAAAAAAUCCGAUUUGGGUAAAAAAUAUAUAUUAUUAUUGGGGUAAGUUUGAAAUUUUGUUUUGUUGAUGAAGAUUAAACUUUGGUUACUUUCCUAUGAUUUACACUAUUUUUAAAAAUUUAAGAUUGAUGGAAUCUUAACUAAGUAAAUAGAUAAAUAUAAUUAUGUUAGGUGAGAAGUGGGUUAUGUAUAUUACAAAUAAAAUUAAUUGAAAAAGAAUUUUAAAUCAAAAAUUUAAAAAGAUAAUCUUUUUAUAUAAUAAAAUUAAUUCAAAAAAGAAUUUUUUCUAAAUAUUUUUAAUUUAAAAAAGAAGAAAAAGCAUUUUCAAAUCUUUCUAAGAUUCUUAAGUGUGCUAAAUGAUUUUUUUUUAUUUUUUAUUUAUAAAAUAUGAUUUUAAAAUUGAUUUCAAGUCACUAGAUUUUUUCUAAUUUAUUCUUAUUGUGAGAGUUCUUUAAAAAAUUCAUAUGUUUAAACUUUAAAUUAUUAUUCUUUUAUUUAACUUGGAACUCUAAGAUUGUUCAUGAUUUUUUUCUUGGAUUCAUGAAUUUGUAUCUCUUCAAGGCAUUGAAGAGUCCAUGAAAGAGCAUAGUGACAAGAAUCAAAUUAGGUGUAAAUUUUAAAAUGUAAAUCUCAAAUAUAGAAACCAUAAAAUAAAUAUGUACUUCUUCUCCAUAUUUAAUGGAUUGUAACUCUAUUAUUUCUAAUCUAAUGGUUUUUACUUUCACAUAGAUUUUGUGAGUGAUUUUUCAUGCAAAUUACUAUCUCCUUGUCCGAUUGAAUUUCUCUUCCAAUUGUACAAUUCUUAAAGAAAAAUUAAAAUCUUACCUUAUAUAUAUAGACACACGUGACGUUUAUUUGAUUUUACUCCCGUGAUAGGAAGAUAUAAGAGAAGUUUUUUAUUUAAAAAAAAAAAAAUUGGAAAAACCGCUUUCAUUUAUAGGGAGGAUUAUUCGCGGAUCAGGACAUUUGAAUCCUAGGCCUAUUUGUGGGCUGGGUUGAACAUUAGUUAAAUAAAUGUAUAUUGACAUUAGAAUAUGAUUGAAAGUUGGGUUGCAAGCAGCCACGGGUGCUAUAUAUAUCUCCUAUAUUUAUAAGGUGCUGCAAAUCGCUUAUCCUAUCCAAGUUAUUUCUCCGGGUUAGGGUGUCUCUCUCCAGAAAAAGAAAAAAAAUGGUGAAAUUGAUGGCUACUUACACGGUGAGACCAGCCAAGGAGACACCGGGAGGCUACAGGUGUUUAUCAGACAGUGAUCAAGUUAGAGCUCUCACUCACGCACCCAUCAUCUACUUUUACCCACCUGUAAAUGUGUCCCUUGAAUCGGCCAUCGAGAUUCUGAGGCACUCUCUGAGUGAGGCAUUG